GCAGGGGAAGGAGGUGCUAACCUCACGUUCCCCGAGAUGCAUGGGAGGCUUCACAAUCUCGGGGCGACCUCCUGUGGGAGGAUGCGCCCAAGACCCGGGAAAGCCGGAUGGUGCCGUGGCUCCUAGUUCCGUUUCAGUAGACCAGUGUUUCGUAUAUUAGUCUGCUGAUCUCCGGCUAGUGUCGAUUCGAGUGGGUCCAAGUGUACAACCCCUGCAGGGUGAAAACUAUACGUAUAGCCGCGUCCUCGGUCAUGGACAUCCCUACUCCUCUGUUGCUCUUAUUAGUUAGUGUUACUCAUGAUUUCUACCUCCCUCUAGUUUGACUUCCUGCCAGGGGGCAGCUGAGAUGCGAGGAGAGGGAGUCCUCGCAUCGACUUGGUGGUUUGGAAGGUGUGCGUUGACCGGGAGUCCGGGAUACCGGAAGGGCCCGAGUCGGAAUUGGAAGGAGAAGUGUAUACUUACUUAUAUAUAUAUUGCAUGCAUAGGAAAUCCCAACUUUACCUCUUGAACAUUGAUACAUCCAUAGUGUAGACCAUAAUAAAGCUUGCGUUCGGAUGGUGACGUGAACCUAUCCCAUUCCUUGAGGAUAGCCUGGUACGAUGCAGGAUCCGAUCCGGAGUUCGACCCCAACGAUGACGGUUGGUACGACUGAGGCCCGUGCUACGCUCAAGUCACCUGUGGAGGAGGUUCCCGAAGAUGAAGGACGGCCGAAGACCUAGCUACCGCUUUGCGCUUUCUUCUUGUUCGUUCUAGCCGAGAGGCUUGUAAUAAAUUUCGUACUGCAGAUCUUUUGGAUUUAUAUAAUAAUUAAACCCAUGUUUGACAUUAUGCGAAGUAUGACUAUGAUAUUAUGCCCGAAAUGAGUUCUGUAUGUGAUAGCGCUUGAUCCAGAGACUAUCACAAUGAUAUAGGGAGUCGGAUUUCUCGAUUUGGAAAUCCGGUUCGUUUCAAUUGAAGUAGUAUCCGAGCUCUAGAUUUAUAAAUAAAUAAAUAAAAUGAAACUUGACGUGGGCAAAAUGGGUAGCACAUACCAAUAUCGUGUGAAUUUUCAUUUCUUAAUUUUUUGCUUUAUCUAUUAUUUACUUUAAUACUCCUUGUGGCAUGUGGAUUAAUUAUUUCUUCCAGCAUUCUAUUCUUUUAUUCACGUAAUUACCUUUUAUUUUCUUGUGUACAUAUUGCUUUAUUUAUCCCCAUCGGCUUGUUCACACGUACACAAUGCGUUUAUGUAUCUUUUUUUUCCUGCAUCGUUUCAUCCCCAGGCACCACCGUCGUCUGUCGUCACGACUGGACGGCCUCGGGAAUGGUCCGCAGCGCGGGCUCCCACCGGCCGUCAACCACCACCUCGCCGCCGGCGCUCACGAUCUCCGCCAGCACCUUCUCCACCGUCAUCCCUCCUCCGGCGCCCCCGGCCGCCGCCUCCGCCAUCAGCCUCUGCAGCCGCCUCUUGCUGAUCCUGACCGUCACCUCGACGCCCGCCCUCUUCCUCUCCUCGCAGCUCUCCCGCCGCUCCGCCCACGCCGGCUCGCCGUUGUCGUCGUCGCUCCACGGAUCGGCCUCGGCGCAGUGGCGAGACCGAGACGCCUGGCACGCGCAGUUGCCCAUCCGAUCGAUGAGAUUUCGCUGCUCCCUCGAAGAACGAAGAGCUCGUUCGUGCGGAAUCAAAAUCCCGGAGCGUGCACGCGGGCAGGCUGGUUGCAUAUAUAGUUUUGGCGACAAGUCUUCUGGAAGAAUGGAAUGGCGUGGCCACCGAUUGUCAGAGGCGGAGGCUGCGGCUACUUCCUUCCUGUGCGUCUGCGUGCCAGCUGCGGAGUUCGCCCGCGAAUCCGCAGCAGCCGGCAGCACACACUGCAAAUUCUCUGAAUUUCCGGUGCCGGGUCAGACGUGUUAAAACUGACAACGAUGUGAUGCGGCCGGACAUGCAGGCACAAAUGGUACGGCAAGGUACGUCUUCAGACUUCAGCGGCAGCAUCAAAGCCAUCAGUCUAAUCGAACGUUUUAAAGAAUUGCUUUUCUCAGGUUGCAGUCCGUAGAUGAAAACUUGCCCACUUUUCGUUGAACUGGACAGACGCUUUCGCCAAGCACACAACACAACACAAGCAUUGCAUUCCAACGUGUGAUGGGAGCGUUCAAUCGGUAAGUGGAACACGAAAAGUCACCGGCGGUUUUGCCCGAAUCGUUCUCGUUGAAGAGCACCGCAUCACACCGCACGUGCGUCUCAGGAGUUACAGGAGCUAGCAUCGUGUCGAAAUUAAAUUAAUCUUCUUCCUUCAUUCCUUAUAUGAAAAAGAGAAAUUGGUCUUCUUCCGAUACCUCGCCCAUCACGGGGAAAGAAGCGGUCGUCUGGGGCAAACAUGAAAUUCGUAGACAAGGUUGGAACGCCUUCCCAAUUGACCAGCUGCUUACAAGACACUCGAGCAAAACUAAAUAUCCCCUUCAUAGCUGCACUAUGUUCUAGAAUGGCUUGCUUGGAUCCCUCUGCAGUUAUUGGAUUAUUGCACAGGGACUGUGUCCCUAGCAGGUGGACCCGCUUUCAAAGAACGGCUGUUCUCUGCAGUUAUUGGAUUAUUGCAGAGGGAUUGUGUCCCUGGCAGGUGGACCCGCUUCCAAAGAACGGUUGUCCUUCUGUUAAGAAGUACUUCCUCCGUUUCAAAUUGCAGAUCGUUUUGAUUUUUUUAGAUUUACAAUAUUUACUAUGCAUCUAGAUAGAUAUUAUAUCUAGAUACAUAACAAAUAUUAUAAAUUUAAAAAAUCCAAAAUGAUCUAAAAUAAAAUUUCAAAGUUAUUUCUUGGGGACAGUGUAGGUGGCUAGACUCAUUAACCUGCAGACGAUGUGCACAUUUUACCUACCAAAGAUUUAUUCAGACUCAGGCAGCUGCAGACUUUAUUCAGUUCAAGGAGAUCCCGUGCAUCCCAAAUCCAAACCACGGGCUCCUGGUCUGUGAGGAUUUCAAUGGGUAACAGGGGCUGCUGCUACACUGCUCAUCCUGUUUAUCUACUACUAGUUUGGCCUUCGACGUACAAAAAAACAAAACUAUAUUUCUCUUUUAUGAGAGGAAGAUAAAGAUUUAUGAUCAUUGUAGCAACGUUUACAUCCUCUUUUCAAAAAAGAAAAGAAAAGAAGAGAAGACAACGUUUACAUCCAGCAACAGGGGUGAGGCCAGCCAAACAUGCCGGCCAUCCCAAGAGUACAAGCUACUUCAGUAAGAUUGUGAGCCUCUAGGUUAGAAUCCCUACCUUCGUGCACAGAGAUCACUUUGAGGGAAAAAACGAAACUGUAAAUAAAAUGGCCUAUUGGGCUAAAGACAGACCUGACAAAAUGCUUGAAACUUUCAUGGCCAAAAAAUUGUGAUCAAGCCCACCUAGUAAGAUUUUUUAUUUUUGCAAAAAGUAUAUGUUGGUUUCAAAAAAUUAUAAAAAGGGACUCCUCCCGCAAAACUCAAAUGCAGCCAAGGUAUAUAAAUCGCCGUUUCAGUGGAAAGUUUAUUAAAAAUUGCCAUCGAAAAAUGACGAGAAGCUAGGUGGGCUCCUACGUUGCUGCCAAGUAUCUUCGUUUGAUUCGUGAUAUUUUCAGAAAACAAUUAAUCCCAUAUAUUGCUGCCAUUUCUUGCAUCCAAGUGGCGCUUGCUACAGCCAUUACGUGGCACAUUCAAUCCAUCAGUAUAGCUUACAUGUGGGACUAUAUCUGCCCCCAUCUUCUCCAAUGCUAAAAGGUGGCGGAAAAUGAAAACUUUUGGGCAAAAACUGGGUGCAAGGUGCAACAAAAUGCUUAAAUCUAGUGCAAUGUUACAAUAUGGCUCCAAAAAUGUGGUGUUUCGGGCAAUUCACUCUGUAAGGAAAUUGGAAAUGCUUAUAUAUUUGUUCAAAUUGUAAUGGAGAACACAAUUGCCAAUUUGCACGGUUGAACUCAAAUAUUUAGAAAUUCAAAAAAUAUUGAUACUGAUUGGGAUGAAGAGUAUUUAUAAAGUUGUAUAGCUCAUCAAUAUCCAUAACUCUAUAUUUACAACAUUUUAAUUUGAAAUAAUUUAGAUGCCUGAUAUUUUCCAAAGUUUUCGAUACAGAGGGUCGAAAGGAAAAAAUAUAUCCAAAUUCCAUUAGCAUUUAGUGGUAUGUGAUAUAGUAAGGAACAUUAUUAGUUUAGGGGGAGGGGGAGUACUCCAUGAACACAUUGCUCAAGCUGAUACAAAUGCUUUAAACCCACCGCUAUAAAUUCUUUUACGAUAGGAUUAUCAAAGUUCAUAUAUUCGAUCCACUUCAAAAUAUAAGUCAUUUAGCACUUGGCAUGGUGUGCAAGCUUUGACUUUGGCCAACAAUUUUCUAUUAAAACAUUAGUUGUUUAGGUACUUAAAUAUCUAUAAAUUAUUAGUCAAAAUGAGAUUACACGUGCAUCAUUUAGGACCUUUUUGGAUUCAUUAGAGCUAAAAUUUAGCUGUCUGCUCGAAUCCCUAGCUAAUAGGUGGUUUGAUUGUUCGUUUUUGCCACCGCUGCUACCUUUGCCUUAUUGCGAGGGCAAACAGAUUUUUCACCAAGCAUUAGCUGAAAUUAGCUUGGAAGAUCCGGGUAAUAUGAGAAAAUGGUUAACUAGCUAUUUUAAGUGCAUAUCGACUGUGGCACAGUGGAGUACUGGAGUUAACUCAAGAAUAAUCUAAUAAAUGCAUUAAUUGAUUAAUCAAGCUACUCCUACGUCCUACUACUACUACGGGCAGUCCCAAUCAAGAAACCAUGUUGUAGUAUCUAUGACAUUUCAUGUCACAUAGACGGUGCCCAAGAAACUAUAGCUCCCAAUGUAUAAUCUGUAAUUGUGGUUACAAAAUAAAUUCUUCCAAUAACAUUUCUCUUCUUUAUACCAAUCCCCUUCCUCCCCACUCUUUAAUUCUAUCUUGGUAUUUGUGAUAUCUAUCCCAAUGGAUUUUAUGUAGUUUCUUCAACUUUGAUUUUUGUGUAAGAAACCAUUUCUUGCAUGAGACCUAAUUUCUUGAAUUUUUCAUCUCUCCUCUUUAAUUGCAUUGCCAAAUCAGCAAAAUAUUCUACAUGGCAGCCUAUUAAAUGCUAUGAAAAUUAUUCUAGUUAUAGCAUUGGGACUGCCCUACUACAGUAGUAGCAUAGUUUAGCCGACUUAAAUUCUGCCUUAAUUUCAUAAGCUGCUGCCCUUGUUUAAUCAUACAUAGGAUGCAACAAACCACUCCUACCAUACUAGACUACUGCUAGUACCAUCAUCUCAAGCAAAUCAAGGUCAAAAAACAACACGCCCGCAUGCAGACACAUGAACAUCGUCCAAACUUCUUUUCCCUCUUCCCAAUGACAUGCUCAACCACUAUCCCUAAACUUUAACUUGAGCUCUGCAAAAUCCUCACAUUCAGAUGAUCAGAUCUCAGUAUACUGCAGCAUGACUCGGGCCAAAAAGGAGAAACUGGUCAUCAACCAAGACCCAAGAGGCUAAGACUGAACUCUUUCCUGACGAUCGAUCAAUUCGGCAGUAGUCCACAUGUGCACAUCUCGUUAGGCCUGUCAUAAUAUAAUGACCUCCAGCAGUGCCUUAAGAAAAAAAAUACCAAUAGAAUGUCUGAAUGUGCAUAUUUUCAGCAGCUACCAAGGACCAUCUUGCCGUUUCUUAAUCAGGGAAUGAUGGCCGAUGGAUGAUCCCUGUGGGCAGUGGGGCUGGCCGCCGCACAUGACACAUGCCCGCGUGAUGCUCGUCUUGACCAAACCAAACCACCCACACAACACACAGCAGCAAGGGGAGUAGUGGUGGAUGCAGACUUGCGAGCACGCACGCAGGGGCGUGCCUUGAUCGAUCGUGCACCAGCGCUAGUAUGGAGGGAGGGGUGGGCGCGUAUGAUUGCGGAAGGCUUCAGGCACCGUCUGGAUCCAUGCUGACUCAAGCUUAGUUUCUAUCGUAUUAGAUAUUUAAAUACAAAUUAGAAAUAUUAAAUGUAUGCUAAUUAUAAAAUCAAUGAAGACUAAUUCACGAGAUGAAUCUAUUAAACCUGAUUAGAUCAUAAUUUGCUAUGUUUGCUACAGUAAAUGUAUGCUAAUCAUGAACUAAUUAUCAUUAAUAGGUUCGUCUCGAUAAUUAGCCGCGACUUAUGCAAUUAGUUUUUUAAUUAAUCUUUAUUUAAUCCAUCUAAUUGGUAUUAAAAGAGAGGACUAAAGUUUAGUUCCUAUGAUAAAAAGGGUCUCAUACCUUUACGCUUUCCUUUCCAUCUCCUGGCUUUGCGGCUCAACUGAUGCUGCCCUACUGCUAGUCUGGUGCUAAAAGAAAACGUCCCAAAAGCUUCGAGUUCCCACGCUACGACUAGUAGUAGCUGCUUCUUUUUUUUCCCUGUUGUCGAGUUGGGGGCACCUUCCAUCGUGCGAUCAUGUUACAUUAUUGCAAACAACGCAGAUGAGCUUAGAAAGUUGCUCGCAAGUGAGAGAGAGUCUGCAUGUGCCUCGCUUUCUGAAACCACUGCAAGAGUCUCAGGUUCAUAAACAGACCUGUCUGUGCAGCAUAGCCUGAAGUUCAGCCGAACUAUUUUGCGCAGUAGUAACCUGUGUGAUUGUUCCUUUGACAAAACUGCAAAAACCAGCUCAUCGUUUAACAUCAUGCGUUACAGUGUGUCGGGCUAUCGGUACCCUGCAGGUUAUUGGCAGGCUUCGUCUUGAGCUUGACAAGUUGACCCUGUAGUUCUGGGUCGCUGCCUGCCUGUUUGGAUAGAUAAGCCUCCAACCAGAGGCGUACAGAGAUGAGAUAAGGCAAGCACAAUCGGCCAAUGCAAGCUGCGGCUCCCGAGACCGCCGAGAAAACGCCGGCCGCCCCCACCGCGCCGAGGAUCCGGAGGCCACCGCGCCAUGUCCCCGCCCUGUGCGCACACAGCGCACUGCCCUCACCUCAGGGCCCUCCGCCCGGCAUGGAGAGGUGGUGGAGCUUUGGUUUCGACUUUGGAGCUUCGUUUCUGCUCCAAUCGACGAGACAAGAAGACCACGAGGCUCGCUCACUCUCGGCCAAACAAAGUGCACAACGAGACGGCAGGCUAGCUCGUACGAAUGGAUGGAGAUGUGCAAAUUAAACGUACGUGCUAUAUAGACCUAUAGUUAUGCGAUCUCAGAGACAGAGAGAGAGGGGGGGGGAGAGAGAGAGAGAGAUUCAAAUUUCAAAAAAUUUCGUGCGGGCACUCUUCAAGUUCGCAGAGGCAGCAUCCAUUGUGGCAAAAACAGAGUACCACUUGCAUCGCCAUUGCUCAACGGCGGUACACUACCAACUCAUGCUACUGCAAGUAUCCUGAUUCUGCAAAUCCCUUUGCACCGAACAAUAGACUCCGGACCAGUACAUUUAUGCAGAGCCCGCACGGGCCCCUCACUUUCAUGUGAGCGCUCUCAGGCCUCAGCUGCUCUCUUGCCCCUGCUAGCUGCAGCCAGCCGCGAAUUGAAGGGACACGCCGCGAACUCCGUGACGCCCAGCGGCGCGGGCGGGCGUCGAAAGCCCAGCCGCCCGCCGCUCAAGCCCCCGUUCCGUGACGAUCCGGAGGAGGUUGGCCUGGCAACGUCGCCGGCGACGUCGCUGCGGCCGGCUGGGUAUCUUACACUCGUCGGCGCCGCCGGCUGGCCAAUGGAGCAUGCGCCUUGUGUCAUCGGUCGGUACACGGCACGUCUAGGUGCUUGGCUCUGGACCAUGCCUGCAGGCUCUGCAGGGAAGAAGAGGCUUCCCCCCCUCCGUGUCGAUCGGUCGAGGCACGUGUGCGCGCGGUCGCCGUGCCGUUCGGGCGUCGCCGUCCUCCUUUGCUACUAUAAACUCGACAAGACGCGCGACGUACCCCCAAAGUGGGUGUGUUUCUACACUGCAGUACUGCACCAACGCUCCGAUUGUCUGCCGAGCCGAGCUGCUAGCAAAUAUGAUGAAGAGCGGAGACGCAACAACGACCAUGCGUUGCCGUCGCUACAGUGAACAACCUCGCCGUCAGAAGUGCGCGCUAAAUGUAGAAACGGACCACGAGAUGCUUUACCGAUUCUCAUGGGAACGACGUGGGCACGUGGGUGAGGGUGCUAAAUUACAAAUAUAAUAUUAUUCUACACGUCUCCAUAAAGAUUAUAAAUAAUUGAUCAUUUUUGUUCCCGUAUCUUUAGGGAGAAAAUACUCGAAAAGGAUGUGAACUCGUAAUAAUAUUUUUAGAAAAUUAUUGCACAUAAUUGUUCUAUCCUCUCUAUCUCUAGGACUAGUUCAACAAAAUAGAAUUUUAAAUUCUUGUAUAGCUCUCGCAUGUACCAUGCUCACGCUACAGCUUGCAGUCAAAAUCCUAGCACCUAGAGAGCUCUAUGAUUAAUAUCCUUCUUGAUGCACCCACAAAGUCAGAACCAAGCUCCAAAACCAUUCCAACCUCCCAAACAUAGCACCUCUCACAACCCAAUAAUCCAGAAGAUCUAAAAAACCCUAGGAAAAAAAAGAAAAAAAAGGCGAAAUAUUUCCAGUCCCUUUCCCUUUCCCCUGCCCACGUUCUCCACUCUCCAGCCUCCUCACAGGUCUACAGCUAUAGAGUACCCGUCGUCUCGCCGGGCCACCACCACUGCGCGCUACCGCUACUGGUACUAGAUCUCGCGCGCAACCCACCCGCCCGCGCGCGCUAUUCGCGGCAAUGCCACUGGCCACGCCGCCGUCUCGGCCCGCGUACCUGUGGUGACCCGCGGCCGGUAUGGCGCGCCCUCGACGCCCGCCGCCGGUGGCGAGGUCCCCGGCCAGGGCCCAGGGCCCGGCAGCAGCUGCCACCCCACGCCAGGCGUCCCCCGCCCGCCCCCGCCGCGGCCGGCGGCUGCGCGUCCAGAGCCCCUCCCUCGCCUCCGCUCGCCGCGUGCCCGCCCCGGCGCACGCGCCGCCGCCGGCAACCCCGCCGCUCCGGUGGCCCGGGGACGCCGUGGCGCCCCGCGAGAACGCCGGCUCCGGCGCGGCCGCGUCCGUGAGGAGGAUCGCCGCGGCGCUGUGGCGGGCGCACCCGCCGCCGCGGGAGCCGGGGGAAGCGCGUCGACGCCCGGAGGUGAGCCUGCUCUCGACUCGAGAUCCGCGCGCGUUGUUGCUCUCUAGGGUCCUGGGUCACCGCUCUGCCGUGUGCCCGUGUAUUCCGCGAUAGCGGCAGCGCCUUGGGCUCGUUAUGGGAGUGUUUUCCGCUGCUGAGCUCGGGUUUCGCGGAGCAGCUGUUUCGACUUUUGAGUAGCAUGAAUUUGAAUGGGCCGGUGAGCUGUGAUCAUUUGGUUAAGGCGAAGUGCGCGUUUCUUUGUUUAUUUGCCGCUGUUGGGGAAGUGCGGUGUGAUGCUACUAGUGCCUUGGCGUUUCUCUGAAUUUUUUGAGCUGAAUGCUGAAUGUUCGUAAAGCUUGGCAAUUUGUGCAUCCAUGAGCGACGGAUUGGUUGUUCCUUCUGCAAAAUUUCGUCCAAGUUUCAUUAACUUACAUGGGGUCUUGAAAUUUACGGUCAUUGUUCCACAAAUUCAAGAUCGAGCUGAGGCUGAGCAUUUCAGCUGGAUGUAGAAAUUUUAUCCAGGAUAAAGUUGGAAGAACUCUCAGCCGAUCUGAAGUUCCGCUUUGCGAUUGCAUAAUUCCGUGGUUUUCAUGAAUUUAUCUUUACAUAUUUCCAUGUCAUGCAUUGCUUAAAUUUCGGCUUUUUGAGGAAGAGCAGUCUCCAUCUGUGUGGACCAAUCGUGUUGAGUUUCAUGCUAGAUUAUAGUAAGCUCUUCUCAGCUGCUCCAAUUGGUGAUCCUUAUCGUUCCGUAUUGCUUUGGGUUCUUUCCAUGCAUCUCUUUCAACUAGGCCUGAAGAUGUGUUCCAUGUGUCAAUCUACAGGGUUGUUGUUAGGAUGUAACCUGUGUGGUCCCCAGAUAUUAGCUGCUCUUAGCUGUGAAAUGAAGACCUCCAGUGCAUGGAUUUUGACAAGUUUUACUCCAUUUGCAUGCAAAUUCUGUAUUACUAGCAGCACACAUCUUAAGUAUGUUUCUUAAGUAUUAGUGGUAAACUAACAGUAAUGAAAUUUGCAGCCUAGCCCAAGGCAUCCGCAUACUCCUGAUCGUUGCAAUUACUAUAAAGCGGUCCUUGAAGGCAGGACGGGGAGUAAGCCCCUUGGCAAUGGCAUCAUUCGUGAGGUAUAUAUCUUAUUCAUAAAUUAAUAUUUCUGGUAUAGAUUACCACCUUCCAAUCUGAUCCAGUUUUAUUUUGAUGAAAUGCUUAUAACAACAAUUAGGUGGGAGCUUAUUCUUCAUCACCCCGAAUUGAAAUGGAAGUCGCAACAAAAUGGGACCGUCGUUGCCUGAACACAUCUGGUGGUGCUGACUAUGAUUUCUGUGAACGCCGUGCAACUGCUGCUGAUGAAGAAGUAUCUGCACUUAAAGAAGAGCUCAUGCAGGCCCGCAACCGGAUUCAGGAGCUUGAAGCUGAAAGCCUAUCUUCUAAAAAGAAGCUUGAUCACUUGGUGAGGAAUCUCGCUGAGGAAAAGGCUUCCUGGAGGAGCAGGGAGCACGAUAAGGUUCGAAGCAUAGUAGAUGCUGUUAAAGGAGAUCUGAACCGGGAGAGGAAGAAUCGACAAAGGGCAGAAUUUAUGAACUCCAAGUUAAUGGAUGAGCUAUCUGAGCUGAAGUUGUUGGCAAAACGAUAUUUACAAGAUUAUGAAAAGGAAAGAAAGGCCAGAGAACUCAUGGAGGAGGUGUGUGAUGAAUUAGCAAAGGAGAUUGCAGACGACAAAGCUGAGGUUGAGGCUUUGAAGCAUGAAUCGAUGAAGGUGAGAGAUGAGGUGGAGGAAGAAAGGAAGAUGCUACAGAUGGCAGAGGUUUGGCGCGAAGAGAGGGUACAGAUGAAGCUUGUUGAUGCUAAACUAACACUAGACAGCAAGUAUUCACAGCUGACUGAGCUUCAGGCUAUCCUUGAGGCCUUCCUCAGUUUCCACCAAGGUAGCAGUGCAGACAAAGAAACAGUGAGAGAUGGAGAAAGGCUCAGGGAAGCAAUUUGCUCUAUGAAGUUACAUGGUAAAGAGUUCUCGUACAAACCGCCGCCUCCUUCAGAGGACAUUUUUGCUGUGUUUGAGGAACUUAGACAGAGGGAAGAUAUUAACGAGAAGGAAAUUGUACAAUGUAAUGGAGAUACCCCCGUGAGCCAUGCAACAAAGAUCCACAUGGUGAGCCCUGAAACUGACAUCUUUCUGGAGAAACCGGCAAACAAAUAUUCCACUCAACCUUGCGCCAGAAAUGAGGAUGAAGAUGAUAGCGGAUGGGAGACUGUCAGCCAUGCAGAGCAAGGCUCUAGCAAUUCACCAGAUGGAAGUGAACCAUCAGUAAAUGGUUUCUGUGGAGGAAAUGAUGCAUCAGCAAGUGGAACCGAUUGGGAGGAAGAUAAUUGUAAAAACUGCAGGUCAAAUAGUGGCAUCAGUGGAGUUUGUUCAACAACAGGAGAGAAGUACCGUAAGAAGGGGUCUUCUUUCUCCAGACUCUGGAGAUCAUCAAAUGGCGACGGCUGCAGGAAAACAGGAUCUGAGUUACUGAACGGUAGGUUCUCAAGCAGCAGGAUGUCCAAUGCUGAUCUUUCUCCCGAUCCCAAGACCAGUGAGGUGUGUCAACUCUCACCGAGUGUCGGGGACUGGAGCCCAGACUUGCUAAACCCUCACGUGGUCCGUGCCAUGAAAGGGCGCGUGGAACGACCUCAAGGCGCACAGAAGCACAACCUGAAGUCCAAGCUCCUGGACGCAAGGACUAAUGGCCGUAAGGUACAGCUGCGCCAAGCGCUCGAACAGAAGAUAUAGCAUGGUGUACUCGCUCAUCAUUCUCCAUUGUCGAAGACAACACCGUGAUCCUUCCUGGUGAGGGCGCCAGGGAGGUCUUCUGGUCACCUUCAGCUCUAGGAGGUGCACCAUUAUUGUUGUAGUAUCUCUGCCUUGGUCCUCGAUCGGGUCUUAUCACUCGCUGUACCUAAUUCACGUCGAUGUUGUCCGUUGAGCCCGCUUAGAAAAAUUGGGGCUCCAUGUAAUCAAAUGUAAUUGUAGCAUUUCUUUUUUUUCCCCGAUGCAUUAUUCAAUAGUGCUAUUAGCUUUUUGCAGUAUUCUUUCAGUUUCCUUUGCUUUUGAGUUCAGAUCUAUGCAAUGCAUGCAUAGCUUUAGUGACUGUCUUUCAGGUGAAGUUUGAGGCUGAACUGGACGCACUGAACCGAAGUCCCAUGGGUGCGUGUAGUGACUGUCUUUCAGGUGAAGUUUGAGGCUGAACUGGAGGCACUGAACCGAAGUCCCAUGGGUGCGUUUUGCUGCUCCGUGUCCAAUGUCCAGAAAAUGGGAUACGCAAAGAAAUGGAGGCUGUUGUUAUUAUUACAUGACUUGAUGGUAGAUCUCAAGGACAUCGCGUUACUGUAAAUGAGACGAGAUACUGUACAGCCGGGACAUGAUAUUUUCGACUUUCAACUACCGAUAUGCGUGGCAAUUAUUGUUGAUCGUCGGGGAACAUUCUCCAUGUAGAAGCUACUUUUGUAUCUCCUGGUCCUGGAAGCUGAAGCUUCCUUUAAAUAUUAAAGUAUUCUUAUGGUAUUUAAGAAAGGAGUAGUUCUAACUAAGGAUAGCCUGGUGAAAAGAGAAUGGAAGGGAUGCACCAAGUGUUGUUUCUGCAGUAAGGAAGAGAUAAUCCAUCAUUUGUUUUUUGAGUGUCAUAUGGCCAGGUUCGUAUGGAACAUGCUGGUCAUUUCCUUUGGCAUUCAGCCACCAUCCAGUAUAUCUAAUCUGUUUGGGUCUUGGGGUAGAAGUUUUCCUUCAAAUCUUAGAAAGACAAUUCUAAUUGGAGCUUCGGCUCUUUGCUGGGCUAUUUGGCUUAGUAGGAAUGAUGUUAUCUUCAAAAACUCUACCACUGACUCAUUUUUGCAGGUUAUCUUCAGGGCGACUUACGGGAUCAGAUGUUGGUCACUGCUAUCUAAAGAGGAAGAGAGGAGCUUCCUGAAGAAAAAUUGCCAACGCUUAGAGAAUGUUGUGAUGGAGAUCUUCAACAAGUUUGGCUGGAAAUUCAGAAAUAGCGUUGAGAACUAGUGCUUGUCUCUUGGUCUUUAUGACCCUGAAUUUUGUAAACGUUAAGUCAUUCUGGCAGGCUUAGAACUGCAUGGUCUGUACCCAUUGGCUGCAAGCUUUCAUUCUGUGAUAAGCUGAGGCCGGAUAUUUUCCAGAUUCUAAAAAAAAAAUUACUCGUGCCGAAAGCACCCAUGAGACGAAUGAUAACCUUGGCCGACUUGGCCGGGACCCCAGGGCGUGAACGACUCGAUGCGAUGAGGUAGUACUUGGAUCGCGUUGUCGCGGGAUCCGUCAUGUCUGUCCCAAACGACGUCUCGUCCAAUUGAGUCGCGCGGUACGCUGCUGGGGUUGGUGAGGUUGAUUGCGUGUGCGAGACUCGGCAGCCGGCGACCGUGAACGUGCGCCGCCACCAGUCUCUGGCUGUUGCGAAAGCGCCGUGGGAUUGGGAAAGGGAUCCAUGGAGACAGGCAUCUGCCGUGGCGGUAUGCUGCGCCCGUGCUCCAGUAGCCGACCCCGUGUGCCGGGCGAGCUGCAUUCAUCCUGUUACCGACCCCGUGUGCGGGCCGAGCAAAAUCCACCCCCCGAAUAGGCACAUAGCUAGGCAAUUAGGCAUGGACCAACAAAAGAUGGGUAGAGCGCGGACUCGGAAAGAAAACGACCCGUGACUACCCAGCAACCGGACCACAAUUCAGUGCUAGAUCAUCCGAUGCACAUCUAUCUGGAACGAAACCAUGUAAAACCAGAAGGUUACUGAAAUUAAACCCAUCCCAGAACAGGAGACCAACAUCAAGCAUUAUAGUUAUACAGAGAGUACUUUUAUUAAGGUGGCAACAAUAUUCCAUACAUGCCAUACCCAUAUGCUGGUGGCGCAUAAUCAGGAGAAAACACAACUUGCAUCAAGCAGAACACAAUGAUAAUAGCACAAUACUUAUGUUCUUAUAGAAAGCAGUAACUAUAAUAUCACUGCUUCAAGCUUCCGAAUAUGCGGUAGGGCGCAAUUACGCACACAAGCAUUUACAGGCCCCUUAGAACCCGUGAAUUUUGAUGUUCUCCUUCUUUGCAAUCCCAGCCUACCAAGACAAGUAAACAAAUGAUGAGCUUAUAUAACAAUGGAACAGUCUUCAUCAUAUCUUACAAGCUACAGCUUCGAGAUUAUUGACAUACCUGAACUAGGAAAGUGGCGACAUUCUUACGCUGAUCGCCUUGGAGCUGAAUGACCUGUAUAGACAGCAAACAAAUCAUCAGUACUAUAUCAGCAGAGAGCAUUUGUGAACUUGAAAAGCAUCGGUGUAACAUUGUACCUGGCCUAGCUCUGGAUCCUGGACUACAGUACCAUUGCAGCAGAAUUCCUUCUUGAGAUCCUUGAGGAUCUUGUUGUAGCUGAACUCUUUCUUCAGUCCCUGAACAGUAGUCAGACUCUUUCUGCCGUUGCGUUGCUGGAUGCGCACAUGCACAUAAUCCUUUGUUCCCGGGCCAGCACCAGAGUCCUCAGCAUUUGCCUCAGCAAACGGGUCUACCAAAAAUGAUGCCAUACCAUCAGUCAAGCAUGCACACAAACAAUACUAGUGUAUCAAAACCAAAUCAGAAGCAUAUUCAAUAUGAACUUGCUCAUGCUUGAUCUCAACACAGCAUUCACUAAUACUGUAGAAAAGCUGCAGCAUGCUAUAUGAAGCCAAGGCAUAAGAAAACAUGGACAAAGGGAACAUACCAAAGGCAGAUGGAAGCUGGACGUCGAGAUCAGACAUGAAACUUGGUUGUUGAGGUUUGAUUGGCACCAAGCUGAUCACGCUUUGAUUUAUUGGUUUUUAAGAAGCUGCACACAAACCAUACCAUCAAUCACAGGCUCUACAAGCACAAAAAAUUCAGGGAAUAACAAAUCACAUGCUAACACAAAUCACCUACGGUAGCAGCAAAGCGCAGUAACAAGUAAAACAGGAUCUAGAGUAGAGGGCAAUCGUUCAUAACCGUCGAUCCGUUAAGAAAUCUACCACUGAAACUAGGGUUUCACAAAUUUUCGGUCAAACUUGGGGGGUUCCAAAAUCACACUCGAACAACAGCUUGGAUAUUAGAUCCAGAAAGGGGCUAGACGAAAACCCGGAAUUCCCCAAAUCCCAUCACAUGUCCUCUAACCCCCGCGGACGAAUCGAAGUCCGUAGACUACAAACAGGCCUACAUCUAAAACAGGGACCACGACGGAUCGGGGCGAAACCCCAUGAUCCCCCAGAGCGGCCACAAGGCUUAACUUUACCCAAAAAUCCAGCCGCUUACCCUCCCAAACGACUCUAAUCAAUUCAUCAACCGCAACCCAGACGCCGAGAACAGCCAAUCCUACCAAUCAUACGAAUCAUACAAAGGACACUCGCACACCUCCCGGAGAACCCGAUCCGAGAUCCUUUCGUCCCCAGAAGCAAAUUCGCGGCGAGACGCGAUAGAACCCCUCCAGAUCCCCAAGUCCUAGGUCUACGAACGAGACGGAUUGAAUCAGGGAAGGAGAGAGGGGGAUGGGGAAAGGGCGUUGUUGGUGCUCACCUUUCUCUUCCCUGGCGAGGAGAGGAGGCGUGGAGCGCACGCGGCUGGGGGCGAGAGGCGGAUAAGACUAGACCAGGGGCUGUCUCGCCUCGCCGGGCGGGUUGGCUUUAUAGGCGCGUGAUGCGUAUAAUUAGGUGGGCGAACCGCCGUUCCGGGGGAGCGCUGGCUAAUUAUGCAUCCCCACACGGCUCUAGCGGGGAGGCCCGGGAGGCUCUGGAUUCCUGCCGACCCAUCGAGACGGAAGCGUUUUUUUAUUCCUUUUCCUCUUAUUUUAUUUUUCCUCUCGAUGAAUUGAAUAAUGGAUUUAGUGAAUACAGCCGGUACCCUCGCCAAUUGCCGGUUGACGUUAAGCACUUCGGUUGUUCACUCUACAAGGCUGACCUUUUUUUAAUACUAAAACACACAGAUAUGGAGUAGUAUACUAGUAGUUUUUAGAGGAAAUACACAAGAAAAUAUACUUUUUAGAGGAAUAUAUGCAAGAUAAUAAGUUGAGGCUAACUGAUGCACGGCCCAAAUCGGUGUCAAAAAGGUCAAAAGAGGCCCACUGACCCACAUUGGCUAGUUGGCCCAUCCAGUGAGGUCGGCGCGGUUCUCUCUCGCGGCGUGCGUAUCACGGCGUCAAGAAUUUUCAUUGCAACAAACAGCAGCUUAAUGUUCACAGUAACAUUUGUUCCGAAUCUGGGCGCUGGCAACUGGCAUCGUAGAAGAAACGUAACCCGGACCGGACCCUAGAGGAAUAUCAAGCAUAUUAUUGCGCGUUAAGUAUAAGAAAGUGUAGUAGAUUCCAAACCAGGUCAUAUCCAAUCUCAUAUCGAUACGCAUGCGCAGCCGUGGGUUCACCGGCGCCAAUGCUUUGCAAGUUGCGUGCAGCAUAUUCUGAUUGAGGGGCCGUUCGGUUAGACAGUUCCGGGCGUGGAACGGCCAGAAAUCAUUCCGACGCUAUGUAAAUUAACGAAGCAACAGUGCGUCUAGGAAUUAUUCCCAAGUAACCGAACGAAGCCUUGAAUGAUUUCUGAGCCCACAUCCACUAAUCACCACAGGUGUCACAUGAUACUUUGAUGUAGCAAUGUUCAAGGGCAGAUAGUACAUAAUUGCGGAAAACGAGUAAACGACACUUAUCUAUACUGUAAUCUGGGCAUCUAACACCACUAAAAUAAGCAUGCGAGAGAAGCAAGCAUGUCUAACAGCGCAACAGACGAACUGCGGUACUCGCGGCAAAUAACAUUCCAGCUUUCACUUCUUCCCCUGUGGGUUCCUGUACUAGCGAGAUUAAGCAUUGAAUCGCAGUGUUAGGAUUCGGAGGCAAAGAGUUCCUGGAAGAACCUGUCCAGGUCACCUUUUUGUGUAUCGAACGCCAUCAGUUUAGCCACGGCAUCCUGAAAUUUUUCAGACAUUACGUUCAGUUAAAAAUUAGUUUCGGCAGUUUGUAUGCAAAAUCAGCAUAGAUAUUUUUCCUCGUUAAAUGUCAUUGUCCAGCAAGUUAUGCACCUGGUACUGCUUGUCUGUUGCUGCUAAUUUCUCGCUGACCAUGCGCCCUAUAGGUCUCUUCGAAUGGAUGUCCUCCAAAAUAUUGUCAGCUCUCUGGACAACUUCAUUUGGUACACCUGCAAACAAGCAAACAUAAGGAAUAUACAUCGCAGCCUAGAGUGUUAUGAUAACCAUCCAGGUGACAAAUUUACGGUUUAAGACUACAACUGAGUUUAAUAUCACAAUGCGCUUCAUCAUGUCAAUCCCUUCACUACAGUGACAACUUGUUUUUGAAGCAGGGGCUCCCCUGCCGAUUCCCUAAAAAAAAACUUAUUUUUGAAGCAAAACAAUGACAACUAAAACAAUCUGCGCAAAAUAGUACACUAGUUUAUGGUUGCACUAAAAAGUUGCUCAUGUUAUCACAAUAUACCAGGUGAGUAGAAUUUUGUCAACAUACAUACCAGCAAGCCGUGCACAAUGCAGACCUGCAAGGGAAAGAAAACGUUACCUUGUAUCUGAUCCAAAAGGAUGCAUACGAAUUGUUGGUCAAAUGUAGUACAUAAGCUUACCAAAGCUUAAGAGCGCCUGCCCAGGUACAAGUCUUCACCAUGUGCAUUACAAUUCACAAAUUAAGCAAGACAUUAGUACAGACGGAAAACAUAAAAGGAACAAGAAAAGGCAUGAUCGGUUUCUUGGAUAGUUACCGAUAAAGGAAUGUGAUAUCAUCAUUGCUUGUUUGUCCAUCAGGAUUCAGAACACUCAUGGUAUAGCAUUUGAUAUGUUCAGACUGCAAAAUAUCUCAGAUUUCUUAAAGUUGUUAUAAGCAGGGCUAGACAAGAUUAACUGUAAAAGAAAACAAUCAUUUCUAUGCAUCAGCAAAUGGAUAUUGACUAUUAACCUGUGGUAGGUAGUUCUCGGUGAAGAUCUCCGUCAGAUGUGUUGACAAAAGGACCUGCAAUAAUUAGACAAUAUUGCAACAUACAACACUAGUAAAUGUUUUUGCUAGGCUAGCCAGUUUAAAACAUUAUAAAGCAUAUAUAUAGAUAUAUUGCUCAUCCAUGUUUGGAUAAACUAUUUACAAUAUAGACAAGAGUCAAUCAGAAAUUACCACAAUUUAUUUUCGCUUCCAUUCAGUAUGAUAAAUGACACAGAGAACAAAAUUAUUCUAUGGUUAUUAUGUUACAAGGUGUAGGACUGCAGGUGUAAUACACAACCACAAAAUCCCUUCCAAAAGACAGAAGGAAUACACCAUUGCCAAUUACUCCCUCCAUUUCAAAUUAUAGAUCCUUUUGGCUUUCUAAAUACAUAGAUUCUGCUAUGUAUCUAGAAAUAACGUAUAUUUAAGUGCAUAGCAAAAGUUACAUACCUAGAAAAGCCAAAACAACCAAUAAUUUGGAAUGGAGGGAGUAUGUCAAAUUCACAAAGUUUUUACUCAUGGUACUAACUAAUAGUUUUUAUUUAGUACACCAAGAACUUGCAUGGACACUAAUGUACUCGUGCUUGAAAAUGUAAUGUCAAAUUGCUUUUUGUGUGCAAAAGCGUCGUGGAUGAAAUAAACAUGGAAGAGGGUAUAGGGGAAAGAAUGAUAUGAUUGGAGAAUCUGGCAUUAAGUUGGUCAUUAAACAAGGAUAAUAAUUCUUGCACGAGUUUUCACAAAUCUAUUCUCCACUUACAACAGAAAACAGCAUCAAAAUUUCUAAAUGGCCUGAAAAGAAUAACGAGGAAAUAAACUCUGCAUAUUUGUCCUUUGUGCGUGGGGUUGUAUCUUUUUUUGGUUAGGUGUUAUGUGUUUGUUUUGUCUGUUUUUGUAAACUCUCUUCUUCUUACGAAAUACAUGCACAGCAUGUUCUCGGGGAAAAAAGAUAAUCAGGAGGAAACUAAAAGAACUAUUAGAAUCCAGAAAAUCUGAACCAAACAAUCAUGCAAAGAAGUUAACAGCUUCGAAGUGAUUGAAAGGAAGGCCAACAGACCAGACUGGCGAACCUAUAAGAUUGAAUUUCUACAGCAACAUUUAGCUGUCUAACCUUUGGAGGGAAAUCAGAGUUUGCAAAAUGACCAAUAGUCCCUCCAAGAAGACCAAUGCCAUCUACAAAGAAUCAGGAACGAAAAAACUAGUCAUAUAAUCUUGAGCCAUGUUGAGAGGAAAUGGAGAGGAGUUUAAGAUUUUCUGUGGUUUCACUCUCACCUUCAGUUAGAGUUCCCUUACCGAAUUCAUCCAACAAGCACAGAGAUCUCAAUGUUGCAUGCCUGAAAAACAUAUUGAGCUUAUUGGCACAGCUGAAAGAUCAUGAGACAAUAAGCUUGAGGGUCACUACUAGGAUAUACCUGAGCAUUGUUCCAACUUGAUGUAAAUCAACCAUAAAAGUUGACUGUUCUGUUGUCAUGGAUUUGCUUCCCAUUGCACAAAAUAUCCUGCAAGACAUCUUGAGAAUGUCAAGGAUAUCGCUAGUCAAGUGUUAAUAGGUACCAUACUGUGUUUGGUCCAAACCCAUGAGCACCAUGUACAUACAUAGGGUCUUCAGUCUACAACCGUAGUACAUAAUCUUUUCUAGCAUAGAAAUCAUAUGAUAUACAAGGAAAGUGCAUAUAUGUUAUACAAACCUAUCUGUCAAUCCAACAAUAGCAGAAUCAGCAGGAACGAAGCUUCCGAUAUGAGCAAGAAAAACUAUCAAGGCCACCUGAAAGCAGAUAUAUAAUGCAACUUGAUCUAUUAUAUAGUUUGUGCUUAUCAGAGUUUUAAGUGUUCUAAAAGUCAAUCACCUGCUUAAUGUAAAUGCUUUUUCCUGAGUAGUUGGGCCCAGUUAUUAUGUUUAUUCUUCCUAUAAAGAAAAAACAUACGUCAGAAGUUUGCAAUAGUUCUAGUAGUGCCAUAAGAAUGAAGAUUUACAUCUCUCAAUAACUAUUCACCUGUAUCACCGAUUUUAGUAUCAUUUGGAACAAAGGUAUGGACAGUCAUUUCCUGCAAAGCAUGUCUAAAUGCUACUGAAGUUUAGAAAAUUGUAGACAUGGAUAAAACUGAAGACUGCUAGCCAUAUUAAACUAUCAUGUAACAUACAAAUCAACUAUAAUAAAUACUAACCUGCCAUUAUGUAUCUCGAGUAUUGAAUCCUCAGUUAAGAUGGGCCUCACGUAAUUGUUUUGGCGAGCAACAACCGCUAGUGAUAAAAUGCUGAUGUAACAAUAUCAUGAAGAGCAAAUUAGAGUAUUAGACUGAUGUACUGUCAACAAGUUGAUCAAUACUACAUGUUUGCCCAAUAAAAGCAUACUUACCAAUCAAGUUCUGCUGCAAAGUUCACUGCUUUUGUCAGUUGAGGUAGAAAUUGAAGGAUGCGACACACUAAAUCCCUCAUGAUUGCUCUCUCCAUAUCUGUAUGAAAUAUGACAAGGUUUGAGUCAAACUACAUUAUGUCUAAUGGUCUAUGGUAGGUAUCCUAAAUAUGUUUGCUGAGUUGCCUAUAAUUUUCAUGCGCAGCACCAGCACUAGAAAGGUACUUUGAGAUAUAUGGCAUCUCCAAGUUUGGGUCCAAACAGGAAUUAAUAGUCCAGAGAGCAGAAAUAGAAAUCAGCUUGGCUUUGAAAAAGAAAGGAACCAAUUAAAUAUAAACUUGAAUUACAGCACUCCAGUCAUUUUGUUUUACUUCUAGCCCUAAAAUCGUGUAGAUAACCUUACUUGCAUACAUAUAUGACUUGCAUAGACAUUAUAGAUUCCGGGACCUUAAUUUUUGAAUAAAAAUAACACAAACCAUGUCUAUAAUUUGGUGAACAAAUUGCAAUAGUAUAACAAGAUCAAAGAAGUGAAAAAGAAUAAGCUACCAAGAAUUUUAUGAUAAAUAUCUCCAAGAAGGUUGUCCAGUUCUCUUGUCUUUUGGGUAUGAUAGUAGAACCUUCUCUCCUCACCUUCCUCUGAAAACUGAUGAAAACAAAUUGUACCGCCUAGCAACAAAUUAAACUAAAAAAAAAGAAUAAAGACACUGCAUACCGCAAAUUCGUAAUCUGGAAGUCCUACUAACAAGGCAUCACUAAUCUUCUCAUCAAAAAAGCACAUUAGGUACCCUGGAAGAACAUGUGAGGAUAUAAAAAUUUUGAACACAAAUUGUAACAUGAUCAAGUAGCAACUAUGUUAGUUGUCUAAGUUUUGAAUUUUUCCACAGUCCAAAGAGUAUCAAGUAGUUAUCUCCUAUAGAAAUUUUACAGAACUUUUUCAUGACAGUUUAAACAGCAUCAGCUGAACCAUGAUCUCAACCUUUCGAGAAGCAAGAUUACAUCCAAUAUCCCUCAAAUGGAGGUCAAAAGACUUAUUAUGUGUGUUGACCUUUGGUAUAGAUAAGGCUUAAUUUAAGUAGUAAUCUCUUGUGCAUCAACACAAUAAUUCAACAAGCAAAUCUAGCAUUAUUUCUUAAGGUAGUAGGUAUUUUAGCAAUAUAAACAUUAGUUAGUUGAAAUGCAAAUGAUUUAGUUAGAAUCCCUCUUAUAUACAGCCCUACAGUUGAUGAAGAAAAGAUACUUGCAUAAGAAAAACAAAUGAAGCGGAUUGUGUUUGAGCACAUAAUAGAAACUUUCGCAUACAGAAGGCUAGGUAAUAUCAAAUGAAUAACAAGAGAAGAGCAGAGUUCUAAUUAGAGCCAAGGAAAGGUCCUACCUAUUUGGUGUACAUAGACUAUCAGUGGAGGUAUUCUGCAUUCAAACAAGAACGGUAAGGAUGCGUUUUCAUAAGCUGACACCUAGAAGCAAUUGAACUGUCAGAAAUUACCAAAUAAAUACUUAAAAUAUAAAUUUUUCUAACUCAAUUUGGGUUUGGAAGAUCUAUCACCUGCUCUAGAAAGUCAGGUAAUCCUUCAUAAACCAUCCUCAGCUCAUCCAACUGAUUUAUGUAAAGAGAUGACAUUGGAUUAUUAAAGUGUCUCCUUAACUUCAGUAACUACACAACAAUCUAUAACCGCAUGUUUUGAGAUACAUAUGGAAAGAGCAAAUGAAUAACAGCAUAAUGAAUAGAAUGUAGCAAAUAGUUUUCUUGUAGAAGUUCUGAGACUUGGCUAUUGAACAAUCGAGAAAUUUCUUUUGCAACUAUACUACAAGUUGUUGCUACAUUGAUGAUGUUCAAACUCCAAAUUCAUGCACCCACUCUAAUGCAUACAAGCGCACACAAGGUGCACAAAUACGAUUGCAAGCAUAACCUAUUUUUUAAGACAGAAUAUAUGUUUGGAAAAUCCUGUCAUGACACUCAGUGGAAGAUAACUAAAUUUGAGAAAACUUCAGGUAAACACAACAAAAAAGGCACUGAAAUGGCAAGAGAAAUGAAACAUUAUGUUCUUAAAAAAAUUACAACAUACACAUGCAACGUGGGAACCAAAACUGCAACAUCUGAUAAGGAUGGAGACAAAAUAUUGGAUUUAUGCAGUUGCAUAGCAACAUGAAAAUACCACAUACAUUCUGGUUAUGCAGAAAGAAUACCAAUAUCGCACAGAGAGAUAGGGAGUUCCCACACUUUUUAUAGUCAUUGAAGCCAUUAUAUAACAGGACACAACUCAAGGAUAGAAAAGACAAGUCUGACCUCAUCACAUAACCCUUCUUUCACCACUGUUUCAUAGCCUUUCUCCUUACCCCGUUGCACAUCAAUAACACCAGCUACCUAUCCAUAAUAGAAGGAAAUGAUUGCCAGUUAAUGGUGUAUGAGACAGUAAACAUAGGUCCAUAGAAAGAUCUAAAUAUUCAUCAAUAGUAGCAAAAAAGAGACGCGUUUUCCAGCAGAAUGUUCAAACACAAUGGAAAAUUGUAACAGUAGCAGGAGAUUUUUUUAAAUCAAAAUAACCAAAAAAAUUUGCAACCAGAUAGCUGUCAUUAGUCACCCAAAGACCUAAAAUGAAGCUGUACAUAACAACUGCUCCAGAGGAAUACAAAAGAAUGACUGUUACACAAUUUGUCCUCCUAUUUUUCAAUUACAUUUUAUGUGCUUAGUUAUUUGCAGUAAAAAACAAAGUGUCAACCAAAUUUGACCCCAAUGGUCAGUUGACUGGGCCAAAUGGCAGUGUCCAUCCAAGCCUAUGACAUUUGUUCAAGCUUGAAGCAACAAAAUUUCAUAGAUAAUUGUCUCAUAAACACUUUAACAGUACCCAAAAAUCAUGCUAUAUAAGUUCAUGCAUAAUGUUUAAUUAUACUAAUAUCAUUGUCAGAAAACGAGGUCAGAUAUAACAUAAAUCUCUAGAAGAGAGGGAGAGGAAGAAGACUUAGUCAUAACCGAAAAAGUAAGUGAUGCUUAAGAAUAUUUGCAGUCAUACCUUUAUUGUGCCCAUCAGUAUUUUUAUGUGUGUUUUUAUCAAACAUACAAUUUAAAAAAUUCCAAACAAAAAUGAAACCUGAAAAGGUUUUGAACUGACCAGAUCUGACACGUAAUCCAACUCAGCUGUAAUGGAAGAAUUUGCCUGAUAACAUAAACAGUGAACAAAUUAUGAAAAAAGUUACAACAACAGCAUGAAACUUUACCAAAUUUCAAUUUUGAAUUGGUGGAACUGAUGCUGCCCCUGUUGGAGAUUAAUACCUUUCCUAUCAAAUCGAUGUUCAUAUGUUGCAACUUAUUUGCCAGAUGCUCUGAUAUUCCUACUUCAAAAAUCUUAUUUAUAUGCAGCAGAGAGCAAAUGCACUGAAAAAAAGGGGGAAACAUAAUUACCAAUAAGUAAAUGGAGAAAAGACGAAGGAUAAAAAAAAUGCGGUGGUGCAGAUGUGCACACUGAAUAUCUAACAUUUCAGUCAUAGUCUUGAAUGCAAAAUAGCAAAAUCGCUAGGCAGAACAGCCAAGAGAAGAAAUUACUCUAAAUGAUUGUGAAUUAAUUUUCAAAAGAUUCUUUAAAAUACACAUGACAGCUCUAAAGUUAUAAUAUAUUGUCAAUGACUCAAUGUAUAGCUUCAUUCAACUUUAUAAAUCAGAGGUAUAAUGCUCACUAGAAACAGGGGAGCAUGUAGCCUUGUGGUAAAGCACAUGGCUGUGGUGAUUGAGAUCCUUGAUUCUAAGUCACACUUCCAUUAAUAUUAAAGAGUUUCUCCUAUGUAUUCUAGUUUUAUAGAGGAGCUUGAGAUACUUGAUUACUAGAAGUUCUGACAAGAAGAGUAGGUAUAGCAGUUAUGCUAAAACCCAUGCACCAACAAUGACCGAUAAUCUUACUUUCCCAACACCUACUUUCCCAACACCAUUAAUCAAAAAAAGGUUGCAUGAUGAAAUGCUAUGAAGCAUAAUCAAAACAUGUGCCUGAGAAUAUUAUUCAGAGAAGCCAGAAAUUCUAACUGUUGAUCUUAAUAUUUAGCCUGUUCAAAUAAGCAAUACAACAUCCAUGGCUUGGUAUUAGUAUAUUACAUAAACUACUUGUGGGGACUAGGGAGGCAUGUUUUCAAAUUUAAGUUUUCUAUCAGUACUGCACUGCACAAGCAUAAGGCAUAAAAGAACUAACAUUCUAAAAAGACAGAUAUUUUCUAUGUUUCAGCAUAACAUGUAGGAAUUUCGAAACAAAGACUUUUGGGUUACCUUAAGAAAUGUGUUCCAAUCACUGCUUGUACAGAAGGAACUUGGAGAGUUGAAUUUCUAAAGAAAGGGAAAAUAUCAGGUAUGCAUGCUAAAGCUGAAUCAGCAUGAUUGGAGAAACUUUUAAGAAUAGCCACUGUAUCAUACAAGCAACACAUGAUUAUCAAGAUUCAACUAUGUUACACAAAUUUUGAGGUUUUGUUUUUACCAUCGAGACGAAAACAAUGCCUGUUAUUAGAAACAAGUCAUGAUCCUGUCCAAACUCAUAAUAUUUGUAGCAACAUAUUUUUUGAGAAUGUGCUGAGCACGUGUUUUAUUAGAGGAAACAUUGAACAGAACAGGAUGGGCAAAAGAAAAUAUCCAAGCCUAUGGAACAAUUGGGGAGCAGGUGAAGGUUGAAACCACCCGGACCCAACACUCUAAGAAGCGCAACUUAAGGACUGUUUUCCAUAAAAGAGAGCAUAAUAAAAAAAUACAGUAGAUAUUAACUUUAUUUUUGAAAAGGCCUUUCUAUAACAUAGUAAAAGGGUUACGAUUGCAGUACAAGAUAAUAACCAGAAAAUGUACAAGUACCACCACAACAAAAUAUGUUUGUAUUGCAAAAUAAAAGGCACCUUAAGCAUGUGGGGAACAUCUCUGACAGACUUUAAAGUCUCACGCAAUGCAGACAUUACUUCUUCACAGCAAAGAAAGAAUGUUAUCUACUAUUUCUAGGAAAACAGUACACAAAACCAAUGGUGCCUAUUGGGCAUCAAGAAUUGAGAGAGUGAAAAUUAUAAUGAUUCGGCAAAACAAGGAUACUGUGUUGAGGCGAUUAUUUAUCACAUCAAUAUCGAUUAUAGGACGUAAGAACCAUGCCCUGACACCAAAGAGUAAUAGUUAAUACACUUUCGGAUUAUUUUAUUAUUAUUAUUGCAAACAUUAUUAUCAGAGGUUGGAGAUACCUCAAGAGGCGUCUUCCCAUUGGUGUGACACACUAUAUUCAAAACAGUCAGUGACUUUAAAAAAAUUAAAAGAAAAGAAAGAGCUUAUUUACCUUGUUGAGCAUGCCAAAAACUGAGAACCUGUGGUUCGUCAAUAUUAUUAAAAAUUGAAAGCCAACAAAAGCUAGCACAAAAGCCUUGAUGAAAGAUUCUUACCCUUCUUUAGCCCUUCCAAUUCCCAUGUAGCUAGGGUGUUUAUCUACUUGAAAAAUUUGUAGUGCUUCAUGAGCAGUUGCAUCAAGUUUAAGGAACUUGUCUCUGUGAGAAGUCAAGGCAUGCAAUUCUAACCAAAAAUAGAUAGGAGAAUGGCACCUGUUAUAAAUGCAUUCAAGCAAAAAUUAUGUUGGUUCCAAAUUAAACUAUCACUGAAGAUUUAAUUAAAUCUCAACACAUCAGUGUGUUGGUUUAUCCAAUAUCAUUAAAGGAUAAAAUGAGAUCUGUGCCACAGAAUCGAUCGCAAUGGAUGCUCCACCUUCCAUCUGCUCGAUGGUAUCAAGAAGUCUCUCAUUGUCUAAUAUAGCUAGGAGACCUCCAGCAGCACGAACUUGAACAUCGCUUCCAAGAUCCAUCAUGGAAUUAAGCUGCAAGUAAACCAGAAUGAUGUUUCCAUCUCGUAAUUAGAAAUGGCUUACAGAAUUUGGGAGUGAAGAUGAAUGAUAGAAGAAAACGAAUAGCCAGAGGUUAUCACUUAUCAGCAAAACUGAUGUUAGACAGAUAUAGGAUACCCUAACUUGACAUAUUGGAUAGUAUCUGUUAAUAAGGGAACAAGAAAAGGAGCUGUAUAGUGGGGGCCUUGUUGCAGGGCUUGGUUACAUAUUAUUGGUAUGUUUUUUUUAUCUCAGAGAUGCAAUAACAGGUAUUUCCAAAAAAAAAAAUCAAUAGUUUCUAAAGAUAUCCCAGGGGAUGAAUCAAGACAUAUAAGUAAAAAAUAGUGCAGCAAGAUUCUCAUUUAAGAUCACUUACAAAGCAGAUCCUUUCUUUUACACUUAGUCCAUCAUCCAUAGCUGCAACUUUCAAGUAGAUCAAUCUGCAGUUGAGACAUGCACACGAAAAGUAAUACACCAUCAAGAUAUCAGGUUAAAAUGUCACAGAGAGAGACAACAAAAAUACUACAGGGCUAGGUGGUUACUAAUCACGAUGAACUUUCAGUAACAGACCAAGUUUGCUAUUUUGUUUCUUCAAUUACAAGUUACCAAAUAGAGAUAUAUACCCAAAAAAAAUUGCUAGUCAUAGUAUAGGUGUUACCACAAAAGUGUUACAAAACGGACCAAAUUAAACAUGUUUGAUUGUAGAUGCCCAUCUAAUAGAGUUUUCCAAUUACAAAAUAAUAAUGUCAAAACACCAUCAUAUGACAUAUAUACAUCUUACUAAAAUGAACCAAUUUUGCAUGGAAGCAUGCUGAAUUGGGUUGGACCAUGUUUGAGAAGGAAUACAAAAGGAAUCCAUAAAAGCAUGUCCAGUAAAUUAGUUUAUUUGUAAGUUUUGUAUUAUGCAAAUCAAGAAAAUAUCAAAACAAUCCUUAUAAUACUCAUGUAAGGCAUAUUGUAAGACACAGAAAUAAUACUUCUUAAUACAAUUAAAAAUGCCUGGUUUUGUAGUAUAUAGAGCAACUAACCUGUGCCAGGCUUGCUCAUAGCUGAAUGUUGAGCUUUUCAUGAGCUUCACAACAGGAGCCUCGUCGUUACCAUCUGCAUGAUUCCAUGCAAAACCAUCAAAAGAGAACUAAAGAUAACAGUUUGAAGAAGGGGGUGUGGCCCAUACCAUUUCGUUGUAAUGCCGAUAAAAGUGCUUCUUCCGUUUUUGUACUUGCAUAUAUUGUGCUUGGUUUUGACUGAAAUUUCACUGGUGCAAUACCAGCAUCAAAAAGUGUCAGCUAUGUGGGGGGUUUUACCUAUUCUAAACGUUUAAUUUCCUAAUAUUGAAAAGCACAAAGAAGUGUUUUUGCCAUAGCAACCCCUAUGUCUAUAUUCCAAACAAAUAAAUAAGAAAUUUUCAUUUCCUAUUUAUCUGAGGAACAUACCAAGAUCAAUCAGAGGAAAUUCCCCAGCGAUGUCUUCCCAGAUUUCCAAUACAAAAAGCUGGCGUGUAUUUGAAUCAUAGUAUGCUACUCCAACUCUGAGAUCGCAAUAAAGUAGAAAUGAAUUAAAACAACUUAAAUAUCUGCUGUGCUAGUAACCCACAAAACAAAUUUUAGCACUGGACAAUGGUGCAAUGAUAAAUAAUGAUGUUUACUUGCCAUGCAGAGAAAUGCUCAAAUCAGGAGAGUUUGUAUUAUUUCUAUUAAAAAAUAUUCAUAAUAUUAUUUGGACUGAAGUCUAGCAUUCAUAUUUUUGAGAAAUUCUAUGAAACAGGAUCGUAGAAAAAAUUUAAGUAGAAUAGAAACUGUUCAACUGACACGUUGUAUGUUAAGUAAAGAAACAUAUAUCAUAAACUAGUAAUAGAAUGAUAUCUAAUGGACAAUGAAAUACAGCGUGCAUCUAAAUUUACCUACGUCCUUGCAUUACACAAGCCAUAUGAACCUGAAACAGAAUCAGAAAGACAUUCAGUGAGUACAGUGAUAGCAUGAAGCUAUGCACAUUUGCACAAAACAACUGAUAAUGACCAAAAUGACAUGUGCAGGACGUAUGAUACCACAUCCCAGAUUCAAAGAGCAGCUGGUUAGAACAUAAACUUAACUGUCUAGCACAAACUAAAUUUUGGGUUACAGAUGAAACAAUCUACUAACGGAAGAACAAAAUCUGCACACUCCAAACUAAGCCAUCCAAAGUUUUCCAUUCCUCUCACGGUUCAUACAGAACUAACCCAACACACUGCAAAUCCGAUCCUAAAGGCUAGAACUGUGUACGAACCCGAAGACCAUUCUAACCAGACGGAAGUUAGAAAACCCCAUUUGCGUGCAGCGGCGCGAGCUACUAAAUGCGCUAGAUGGAAUCAACAAACUCAUAAGCUAAAUCAGCGGCUGCUCGAUACAGUUCAAAUUAGGACGGCGAAUUGCACGAAACUGGGUUCCCGCAAAACGAUUCGAUCGGGCGCAGGGACACCAGAGAGGGUAAACCGAGAAAACUUCACUCCACAUUAUGCGAUCGGAGGCGAGGAGGUGGUAGGAGGCUAGGAGCGGCUCGAUACGCACCUGGGAGUCGACCCCCGUCUCGGCCAUCUCCUCAUCGUCAUCCUCCUCCUGAAACCCCUCCGCCUCCAUUUCACCCGCUAGCCCAGUGGUCGGUCGUGGCUUGGCUCACCUCCUCCGCUCCGCGACUCGACGCCGCCUCGCCUCGCCUCGCCUUCUCCGCGGCUCCCCGAUUCGAUGAGGCCGCCCCGUAGCCUCGCCUCCUCCGCGGCUCUAACCCUUGGUUCCGGAAUGCGGAUGAGAAUUGAGACGGAGUGAGGAGAGAGGCUUGCGGCAAUCGCGGUUGGCCGGGUGAGGGCGUCGCCUCGCCGGCGUGGGGACUUCAGUGAUGAUCGCUGGGGACUGGGGUGGGGGAGGCGGAGCGGCGAGCAGGCACGCGCUGGGUGCGAACCGCGAAGUGCGUAUGGGCUGCAAUGCGGGCACGGGCCAGCUGGCUUCUUGUACGCCAAGAAAGAACGAGGCGAGAUGAUGCGCGCGACUCCCGUAAAAUGGUCAUGAGCUGGUCGCCUGGUCCCGUAAAAUGGUCUGGAUGGAGUGAUUCGAAUCUGCAGCCAACAAAUUGCGUGGACAAACACUCAGGUGUCGAGGUCGGACUCUCCGAUGCACGACGUGUUUUGUGUACAGUGCAACGUUACACGGGGAAGAGUUUGCCGAGUAGAACACAGAAAAGUGAAUCGGUUUCCAAAGGCAAUUUUUUUCACGUUAAAAACGAAUCACAUCCGUGUUCAUGUCCCAGUGCCGCUGGCUUGACUAGCUACGCAGCCCACGCGCCAGGUCCCAGCAGAGUUCGACACAAACUCCGAACCCCCGGUGCGCGGGCGUCAACGAGUCGGAGCACCGUCCGCGCACGCGCCGUCACCUCCGAGAUACAAAUACCGAGCCAACGGGCGUCGCCAGGCGAACAGUUUCCCAUCGCGCGUUCGGAUUUCGCAAGGAGGCAACGCACGCGCACUCGGCGAUGGCUCUCCUGACGCAGCGGCGCCCCAGCAGCGUGCUCCUGCUGCUCCUCGUCAGCCUCCUCGCGCUCACCGCGGCCCCAGGCUGCGCGCACGCGGCCCGAGUCCCCGCGGCGCUUCACAGUGACGACGACGACGCCGUGGCCGCUCCCACUCACUAAGGACAGGCACCCGCGACCGCGCCGCUCAUUGUCAUGAACCUCUCGUCCGGCGGCGGUUCUCAUUCCGGCGGCGGCUCCGGAGGGGGUUUGUUCCGGCGGAGGAGGAGGUGGCGGCGCUUGUUCCGCUUCAACAGGUGGCGGUUCUCGUCGCGGAAGUGGCUCAACCGGUGGGGUUCUCGUUUUGGCUAUUAAUCCUCUUGUGUAGGCAGCGUUCAGGAUACAUCACACGGCUCGUAGAUUGUGACCGCAUUGGUAUUACUGCCUGCAUGCAACCCGUGGACUAAGAUUCUCUCUUUUUAUAACUUGAGUCUGGUCUUGUACCCGGCGCCACUUCAUUGUACCCUAUACUUUUUAGAUAUCUAUUUAAAUCAAAGCUCACAGCAGCAAUAGGGAUCUCGUCAGAGCCCUAGUGCAAACAACCUUAAAGAUGUGUGUUCAUCCCCUCCCAACUUAGGCAAACUGCUCGGUUGUGCCUGAGAAACCACUCGGUGGGAGGCGAAUUUCCAACAAUUGGUAUCAAGAGCCUAGGUUAAGUAUCCUAUGGAUUAAUAUCUCCACCCAGAAAGCCCGUUAGGUCUAGGCAUGGCUCGAGAGAGAGCAAAAAGCUGAUCAAGGAUGAAGAAGAUCUCCUUGGUAAGGAGGACCUGACGUCCAAAGACCAGCGGCCAGAGAACCUGACGCCCAAAGACCAGCGACGCUACCGGAGGCGUCCCUCCCCUUCCCCGCGCUGGCGGCGCUACCGGGAUGGGGAGUGGCUGGUCAUUUAGAAGGUGGACACAUCACUGUAAGCCAAGCACAGUACGCCGCUCAAGUCGUGAAGAUUGGCGGGAUGGAGGGGUGCCACCAUGCCCAGAUGCCCAUAGAGGAAAGGUUGCGCCUGAGUCGCGACAGGACCGCUGCAGAAGUUGACUCCACCGAGUACCGGCGACUCGUCGGAAAACUCCAGCAUCUCCUCCGCAUGCGACCAGAUCAGGCCUUUGCGGUUGGGUUUGCGAGUCGUUUCAUGGAGAGGUGAAAGGAUCUUGGUGAUGCCUAGAGCGGCGGUGAAUAGGCAUAAUGGUAAAACCUGAAAAAAAUUCAGCAAUUAAAUCUGUCGAAACUUACGACACUGCACCGGAGCUUUCGACAAAAGAAAAGUUAUUAUACAAAAUUCAAAAUUAAACAUGACACUGUAGAACCUGACUGAAUCAAAAGUUGCACAAUGAUAUUAAAAGACUUCUGCAUGUGAUCUUUACAAGCACAACAACUCGAGUACGUAGAUCGGCACAAAACAAACUCUAGAUCAGCGAGAACUAAUUAAAUGCAAUAAACACAAGACACAAAAGAUUUAUUCCCGAAAUCCACUUCCACUAAGAAAGCUACAUCUCCAUUGACGAACUCACAAAGAGCCGAGUCUCCCAGUAACUUUUUACCUAACUCAAUCAACCACAAAAAAGGAUUGAAUCACUUACUAUGAAAUCCACAAAGGAUAGGGUAAUAUAAACUUUCCGGAACGCGCAUACACGAGAGGAUGCUCCACGGGCGGCACCAAACCGUCUAGAAGCAAGCUUCAAGAAUAACAAACGCGAAUCGAAAGAUAAAGAUGCUUCAAGUACUCUUAGCUGCCCUCUCACUUAAAUGGUUGAGUCUGAUACCUCAAUCUUGCUCUCACCCAAGGUCUAUCUCAAAUCAACUAAAGGAUUAGCUCAAGAAGGGAUUGGGAAGGAGUAGUAAAUUCUCUUGGAGGUAUUUAUCUCGGGUUAGGUCAGCAACAAGUGAAGGAGGGGCUGAAGGGUAUAAAUAUCCGAGCCCUAAAAACUAAUCUUUAGUGUACUGGUUAAGUGAUUGUCGGAAUUUCCGACACAGUUCCAACCCAGCUAAACUGGCUGGCCGAGAACCCCUGUUAGUAGAUACUCGGAACUUCCGACAGGUGUUGCAACUUCCGACCCCAUAUUGGAACUUCCGACUACACACCGAAAACAGUAAAAAAACUAGGUGCACAAGUGUAUGAUUACGUGUCUCUUCUUGAUGGUUAGCAUCUCAAAUAAGUAUUUAGAUAUUUAGAUAUCUUCAUGCUAUCCAUUCGCAUCCUUGGUACGAUGUUUUCUGUACUUAAAUUCUAAAUAGAAAAAAUAUUAAAAUAUCUUCUUUUAAGUCCAACACCAUCCUUUAAGCAAAUUUUACAUCUUUUCUUACUCUUUUUAUUUCAUUAAAUUUUAACCUGUCCAUAACACGAUAGAGUUUUAUAUGUUAUCAACACCAAAACCCACUUAGAGGGCCAAAUGCACUUUCAAGAGGCCGACUGUCAGUAUAUAUAGGCAGGGAUACCUCCUGCUAGUGUGUCCAAGCCGAGGAGCGCGAGGUUAACCUCGCACUAAGCCUUUGGGUGACAGGAUGUACGGCCCGGACCUGACAGCUGGGAUCACGGUCUCCAGACCUUACCCCGUGCUCUGACAGGUCCGGCGCCUCCAUGUGCCCACAAGGACAAGGUGCUCAGGAACGGCCACCGCGGGUCCGAACCACCGCGGGGUGGUCCGGUGCCACCACGUGGGGAAGCCGGACCCCUAGGGGGCCUGUGCACCUGGGCCGGCCUCGGGGACCCGGACCUCCCUUCCCUCCGAGAAGGAGGUCCGGAAUCGCUACGUGUCCCUGAGGAACCAGCUGCUAAGCUAGCUACGUGCCCCUGAGGAACCAGCUGCUAAGCCAGCUCUGCCACGUGUCCGGUGGCAGCCAGCCUUCUGCGGUUCGCUAGCUCAACUACCGCAUUAAAUGCGGGUAGGUGGGGUGCGCGUGCCCGGGUCAGGACGUGGGCUGUCCACUGACACGUCGGGCAAGUAUGCUGACACCACGGUAAGCCCGCCAGUUACCGAGACGGCGCGUCGUAUCACUACACCGCAUACGAAGGCGGGCGACGUGUAGUCACAUCACAGCGCCGUGCGCUUGGGCAAAGGGCAAUUAUGAUCUGCUGCAGGAGGGCUGCGGCGUGCGCUGCUACAGUGUGCGCGGAAGCUACAGCAUGGCUGGUCAACACAGCCCCUUCGCCUGUCAGCGGAAAUUGACCCAACAGUGACAGCACGACUUCCACUGUGCAUGUCACUGACAGCAGGCACUGUGCCGGUGAGACAUCACAUGACCAUAUCCUGGUAGAAGAUAUGCACAUCAACUUCCCGAUCGAGGACUACAGGGAGGAGCCGAAGAGGAAGAUUUCCGAAUCUAUGGCUCCGAUGAGUACAUUAUUUAAUAUGUCACCGGGUCCACCUGUCGGGGCCCCGCAUGGUGUACGCGCUCCCCUUAAGUCUAUAAAAGGGAGAGCGCACACCAUAGAAAGGAGGAUUCAAAGACCAAGCUCUCGGAAGUUUUAAGUCUCACAAGCAAUACAACAUACAGUGGACGUAGGGUUUUACGCUCCGGCGGACUGAACCACUCUAAACCCUUAUGUGCUUUCCGUAUUCAUUCACCCCUUGAUCUAGCGUUUCUUGACUUCCCCCAAACUCAUCCAAGACUAGGAUUAGGCGGGUGCAUUUCGCCACCCGGCUGGAGAUUUCCUCCGACACCGACUGAAAAACACAUGAAGGCGGUGAAGCGCAUCCUCCGCUACAUCAACGGCACGCUCGACUACGGUCUCCGCUAAGAGAAGUUGACCAAAACAACUCGGUUGGCUGGCUACAGCGACAAUGACCACGCCGGCGACGUCGAAAAUCGCAAGAGCACCAACGGCAACCUCUUCUAUCUUGGGAAGGGCCUGGUGAGUUGGUAAUCGCUCAAGCAACGGGUGGUGGCUCUAUCAUCAUGUGAAGUAGAGUAUGUUGCAGCCACCGCGGUAGCAACUCAAGCAGUUUGGCUCGCGACACUACCUAAGGAGAAGGCUGAAUGCGUGAAGCUCAUGAUGGACGUCAAGUUGGCACUGGCGUUGAGCAAGAAUCCCAUCUUCCAGGAAUGAAGCAAGCAUAUCGAUUUGAGGUACCACUUCAUUCACGACUGCAUUAAGAAUGGAUUCAUCGACGCUGACUACAUCAACAUCAAGGAUCAGCUCGCCAGCAUUCUAACCAAGGUACUCGGGCGAGUGAAGUUUUAGAAGUUGCGAUCCAGGAUCGGAAUGAUCCAAAUUCCCUCGAGCACAAUACACAAUGCUUAGGGGGAGAAUUGUUGGGGCAUUCACUCUGAUGUGUAGGUAGCAUGUAGGAUACAUCAUACUAGUCGUAGAUUAUAGCCACACUAGUAUUACUGCCUGCGUAUAGUCCGUGGACCAAGAUCCUCUCUUCUUGUAACUUGCGUUGGUUUUUUAUCCAGCGCUACUUCAUUAUACCCUAUCUUAGGAUAUCUAUAGCUCACGGCAGCAAUAGGAUCAGUCGGAGUCCUAGUAAAAAUAUUUAAAAAGCAUAUGUUCAUCCCUUUCUUUCUUGCUUAGCAAAUACUUGAUUGUACCUGAGGAACUGCUCGAUUAGGAGAUGGAUUCUCAACGCGUUCUUCCGGCGGUGGAUCAAGAGGCGGUUCUCGUUCCGGCGGCGGCUCGAGAGGUGGUGGCUCCCAUUCCCGAGUCACCACGUACUAUGACGACGAGUAUGACUGGAUCGAUUACGACGACUACUCGGCUGCCGGUGACCGCGGCGGCGUCCGGAAGGCGGGAGUUGCUGCCACGGUUCUCGCCGCCGCCUGGCUCUUGCAGUUGUAGACACAGGGGCUGUGCUCAGGGUGCCUGAACUUCGUGGCAUUGCACAUGCGCGCUCGAUACUUCGAUCAGCGAUCGUCACAGUUUUUUUGUAAGAACGAUCAGCGAAGUUAGGAUACACGUGGCACAUGCUUUGGGCCAUCCUUGUGUAUAGGAAACAGGUCGUGUCAUAUUGUUCAUUAGUGCUAUUCUUUUUUGCUGCUAAAUAAAUGUAGUAAUGACUGUGGAUGUCAUGACAGCACUUGUUCUUUUUGAAUUAAAAAAAAAGAAAGAAAAGAGAUUCUAGCGUCCUCGCAAAAAAAUGAUUCUAGUCGUGCUCAGCUUAUGUGAUCCGGAAUACGUACAACCGGAUAUGGCAUGAACACCCAGUUUGCUCAAGAUUAUGCAUAAUCUCAAAAAAAAAUUCUAAUUCGAUGUUAAUCUCCAGAAAACAAUAAAUAGCGGAAGCAGAGACCUCCAUGUAUGUGCCUUGUGUUGGGGUUCAAGUUAGCUUUUGAGACGGUAUUACCAUGGCUAGCAAGCUCUAGAGGCAUUGCCAUGGGUUUCGGCAUUAGCGUGAGGGGGGAGCCGGGAUCGUAUCGAACAUAAUGCGUCUGUUAGUCUCUGCUGAAAUUGUCUACCUGUGGUGGUGUAUGAAAACAACAAGUUGCUACGCUUGACACUUCCAGCUUAGAGCAUCUCCAAUAGCAGUUCUAAAUUGGAUCCUAUCUUGAAAUAUAGGGCUUAAGAGAAAAAAUAGUCUCCAACAGGAGUCCUAUUUUACAAAAAACUAGCAAAUCAAUUUAGGACUCAGUCUCCCGGGUCCUAGAUAUAGGACUCAAUUGGUUGAGUUCUAUCUUCCUUUUGCCACGAAAUCUAACUGACAGAGUAUAAGCUUUUGAGACCCCGCUGUUGUAAAUGAUAUGAUUUGAGAUCCUGUUGUUGGAGUAUAAGCUUUUUUAGACCCUAAACAUAUCAAAUAUAUCCCUAAUACAAAUUAUAGGAUCCAAAUAUAAGACUCAUUGUUGGAGAUGCUCUUAGCUUUGGUAGUCGCUACAGAAAUAACAACGCGAGGAACACGUGGCUAACUGUCAAGAACAUGCAGCUACAAAGCGGAUGCGCGCACACCUCCGCCAAUCCAGCCAAACCGAGCUGUACGCAGCCAUUCGCGAAAAAAGAAAAAGGAAAACUCAAAACUGAACUCGUCGAUUCCACGCCGCCACGCCGCCACGAGCCCGCGCUGCCACGCAGAUAAAGAUGUCAAUGGGUACCCGAUACCCGAAACCCGACAGGUAAAAACCCUAUUAGGGGCCGGAUUUGGGUAAGAUUUUGUACCCAUGAGUAUGCAAACGGGGAAAAACUCAUACCUAUCGGGUACAACGGGUAUGGGUAUGGUAACUAAGUACCCAUCCCCGUUUACCCCGUACCCGAUUAAGGGCAGGAAUCUCACAACAAAUAGCCCAUUAAAAAGCAAGCCCAAGAAGCCCGUUAAGAUGCAAACCCUAACCGAGCACCUCAACUCCUUUCCAACUGCACGAAUGUUGAUAUUUUGAAUCUAAAUUUUAAUCUCUGUUUAAUGCUAAAUUUUAAUCUUUUGAAUGCAAAAUCCGCGGGUAUGGGAAACCCGCGGGUACCCGUUACCUAUGUGGGUAUGGGUAUGGGACGAACUCCUACCCGCGGGCGGGUAUGGGUACAGAUUCGCUCUGAUGGUAUGGGUAUAGGUUGGCAAAAUCCGUAGGUAUUAUAACUGUUGACAUCUCUACACGCAGAUAUCAGCCUAGCACGACGGCGAACUGCAGCUGGCAAGCCCCAAGUCCCCAACUGCCCGCAGGGCCCCACCUGCCGCCCAUGCCAAAUCGUCUAGGCUACUGCGCGCCACGAAGACACGGCUCCUGCCUGCCCUGCCGCAGCAGGCAAAAAGACACACACCCCUCUCGCUCGUCCGGUCGUCCCUGCUCUUUCCCCAUCUCCAGUUCUCCACCGCGAGGCGGGGGACGGCAAAUGAGAGGCGGGGCGAGGGUGCUCUGGGCGCUGGCCCUGGCGCUGCUCUGCGUGGCUGCGCACUUCCAGGGCGCCUCCUGCCGCGGCGGCGGCGGGAGGGGAGGAGGAGGCGGAGGCGGAGGAGGCGGGAGGGGCGGGUCAGGAAGAGGCGGCGGGUCGGGACGCGGUCGCCCCGGCCGUCCGUUCCUCGGCGGGGUGGGGGCGGGCGCCGCCGCCGGCGUCGGCGCGAGGGCGGCCUCGGGAGGCUCGCACGGCCACGGCCAUCACAACGCCGCGGGUGGCGCGGGCGGGCGCGGCGCUUGGAGGACGGCCGGAGCCGCCGCCGCCCUCGCCGCCGCGGCGCUCUCCUGGUGCUGAUCGCACGUGCUGAUGGCGUAUCACGUUCCAGAUUCGAGGGGUGUUCCUUCUUUUUUUUUGGUGUGGAGAGGUGCGGUUGGUAGCACGAGCUGAGUAGUAGUAGUACCAGCAGCAGCAGUAGAUCGGCUGAUGCGUAUGUACUGGUACGCUGUUCUGGAAUCUGAAUCGAAGAUUGUGAUUAGAUGUAGCUCUGUAGUCUAGACGAGUUUGCGAUUAGCGUUGAGUAAUUGUCACGCACGAAAAAUGCAGAGGAGUUGAAGGCAUUGCCGGCUUGCUUUUGCUGUACUGUACAUUUGAAUCGGCAGAUGCUCUCUGGUUCCUGUAACUUGUGGUAUGAACAUUGCUUCAGAAAUACUUGGUAUUGGUAAUUUGGUAUAGCCUUCUGGGAAUUGAGCAUGUACGGUGUGCACUUCACUUGAGUAGUACUAGGUUACAAGUUCCUUUUAUUUGAGGGUGUUUUGAACAACCCGUGUCAAUCUGCAACCAUGUUCAGAGUUUAGCUUUGAAGACAGAUGGAAGUUCGGAUUGUGGCAAACUCUGAUGAACUAAUUGACGAGAUCAUGAAAAAUUCCACUGACAAAUGAAAGAAGUGUGCUGGUUUUCUUCUUCCAAGGGACAACAAAGUUGCCGGUUUUCUUGCUGUUCUUGUCUGACAAAUGAAAGAAGUUGCUGUACUUGGCGGUUUUUUUGUGUGUGUGUGGUUUCACAAUUGACCUGUCGGCGUUGUGUCGAGCAAAAUGCAGAUGCGCAGCUUGCGAGCCGCGGCCUUCCGGGAAGCAACCUGGCCUUAUUGUGAUUUGGGACCGGGAGUCCGGGACUGCGCUGGCUCGCUGCUCAGUCCAGCAACAUCUGUCUGCUAACAAAUGUGUAUCGUUUAGGCUCUGGCAUCGGCACAUAUAUGUUUUAGCUUGAGCAUAAUAAGAAUUACCGGUGUAAUCCGAGGGCAAAACAAAAAAAUAAGGACCCGGCUAAUUGACGGCCGGCUAUAAAAUAACCUACCGGCCGAUCCAUUUAUGGAACGUAAACUGUAUUAUCGCUUUCCUAUUUCGGCAACUCUGCCUACACCUCCUUUUCCUCACAUUUUUGGCGCCAACGAAACCUGCACGCACAUGAAACCCCUUCUCCCUCCCUCCCACGUCCACCCUGCGGCAGCACACAUAGGCAAAAAAGAGAAAAACACAACAGAUAAGGUGCAUGACACACAGAUCAAAAAGUCUUUUCAUACGGCCAUCAUCUACAAAUUUGUUUCUAGGUUCCAGCAAUAAGAUAGAUCCACAGGAAAACACAUUCCCCCAGAUGCAAAAACAACAAAUCUUGAAUUACAAAAAAGAAAUUGCUACGUCACAGAAAUUAAACUGCAUGUGUAAGAAUCUGGACAGAUGUGUUGUUGUAGAAUCCACUGAUGUAGACCUGAUUUGAAUCAACUGCUGUAGAGCCUGAUUGAAUGCAGAUAAAAAAUGCUUGAUUAGAUUGAUUGUGAUGCCGAACAAACUAUAAAAGGUUGAAUACAAGAAAUGUCUGAACAACAACUACUGAUCUGCCUGUUUAACAGUACAUUAUUGCCUGAUGAUUCAGAUUUAGUUGCUUUUUGACUUAUGUAAAAAAUGCUCUUGUGCUGCUGCUGUCUAAUUAGGUUUGUGACUUGCUGAAUUGUGCAGGGGAUAUAGAAAGAUAAAAAUGGAUUUAAACGAGCUCCCACCAAAAUUUAAUUAUGAUUUCAUAGAUGAGUUAAAUGCAAAUCCACCUAUUACACUCAGGCAGUAGUUGGAGAGGGAGCAGUACAUAAAAUUGAGCAUGCUCCAAAUCAAGAGCCAGCUACAGUUUCCGAUAAUGUAGUUUCUGUUGGCAAUAAUUUAGUUGUUGAUGGCAAUAACCUAGCUGAAAACCACCUAGGAUGUGCAGGCAACAAAAUGGAUUGGGUUCUAAAUUCGUACAGGACCUUCACGCCUCUCAUGUUUAACAAAGGAACAGUAGAAAUGUUUUGUUUGUUUGUAACAAAAAAGGCAUGGGAGGAAAGGUAAAAGAAGGCAAGUUAUGAGGUGGAGGAUUUUGAACCUGAACAUGACUUGAGGGUAACCUAAAUUAAACGUUCAAUAAAUUGCCUAAGGAGAUGCAUGAAUUUGCCUAUGCUAAAAAGAAUUAUUGCCUAACUAAAAACCAUAUAAUAGUAUUGCAGGAAAAAAAGGCGGAGACAAACAUACUACAUUGGAUGAUGUCGCAUGAGCUUGUUGUGCUUCUGCGCUCUUGGCAUUUUAAUUGGUGUGUGUUUGGAAAAAAAACUGCACAUUACCAAAUGAAGAAAUUAGUGAUGGUGGGGGAGCCAAUGGCUAAGUCAAGUGCAUCGAGGGGGCACCAUGACGGAGAGGUUGUAGGAAGGGGUUGUAGGAUUUACAGAGAGUGAGAGAUGAAAAACACAAACUCUGCCCUCUCUGCCAACUCUAGUUCAAUUAACAAUUUUUUUAUAGUAGAAUAAGUAUGUGCGCUUAAGCAAUUAUAUUUAUAAAAGUAAGCAUGUUUUAUUCAAGAUUGUUGUGCAUGUAUAUCUGGACAUGUUCAGAAAUAAUUAGACAUGUUCAGAAUAAAUUAUCUGAAUAGAAAAAGCUAAUAACUAGAUAUGUUCAAAAUAACUAGACAUGUACUUACGAAAAUACGUCUGUUGAACUAAUAAAUGACAACAUGAGCUGUUUUGUUAAAUCAGAAAAAGCUAAAUACACAGUGAGUUGAAGACACAACCUAAGUAAAAAAACACCAGCCUAUUCGUUCAACCUGAUAUAUGAUCAUCGGGCUAUCAUCAACUUAAAAUAUCCAAAUCACAAAGAACAUGCAGCAUUGACAGGGGAAAAAGCAUCGAGUUCACUCACCUUGUGAGCUUUUUCCUGCUUCCAACACGGAAAAACCUGACAUCACGGAUAGGGAAACCCCGUCAAAAUUCCAGUCAUAAGCACGAGGGGGGAGGUGCUGGGAGGAUGGGGAAUUGCUCACCUGAUUCUGACAUAAGCUUCCGCCACAUCAGAUCGUGGAGAGCAGAAGCCACAUCAGAUCGUGGAGAGCCGCGAGCUGCUGAUGAUUUUCAUUUCCAGUUGUCCCGGAUUCCAGAUGUGCUUGCCGAUGAGCUCUACAAACAAAACCCAAAAAACCAAAAAUCGAAAUGGACAGUCAGGAUAAGGGGGUGGAGGGUUUGAUGUCGUGGGGGUAAAAUCGCUCACAUGAUCGCCACACUAGAAUCACGAGAGAACCCCACCUCCACGAACUGUUGGUGGUUGCGAAAUCAUCCAGGGAUUUUGACCACAUUUGCGCACAAAAACACACCAAAUCAAAAUAAAAAACUCACGCAGAGCGAGAGAGAGGAACCCUAGAGAGAGAGGAUAAGCAGAGGAAAUGAACAUUUUGAAUAAAUUUCUCCGCUGUGGCCGAUACGUGGGACCGCCUGGUCAGCGGCACAUGGUCGGGCCGGCCGCGUUGCCUCGUUGGAUGCAGGUGGCCGUACAAGUGGAGUAGAAUACGGCUAGCUGUAAUAAAAUCAUUACCUAAAUACAAUAUGUCUGCACACGAUUACUAAAUUGGUAUUGAAUAAUCAAUAAACUGCUUGGCUUCGACUUAAAUGAUAGGAAAAUAAUAUGCAUGAACACAACUAAUCAGCAAAAAGGAGUGAUAUUAUCUAACUAUGUGAUUUGAAUCUUAAUAAUGUCUAAUAUCUCUGAUACUCCUUUCACAAUUGCAAACAAGAAAACUCGACUUACCUGAAUCAGCAUGAUGCCCCUGAAAAUGAUGUGUGUGCUUAAUCAACUACUCUGGCUUAUUGCUGAUCCUGAAAAAAUUCCAAAUAAGCAAUGUAAGGGCAAAAAGCAAGACAAAGAAACUCAGUAUCAUUUGCUAAUAAGUAAGGCAUUUAAUUCAGAUUGAUUUCUGUAUAAGUAUUUUACCAAUCCAUACAUGCCACAUGUCCUUUCGUUAUUUAAAAAUUAUAACUAAUGCAGAAUGUCAAUUUGGACUGAAAAUAUUUCCUUUGUCAGUUCUCAAAUGGGCUAACUAAAAAUCAAACAUACACGAAUGCACUUCGUCAAUUUCUAACGAGCUGACAAAAAUCAAACGUACAAAAUAAGCUAGCAAGCUAAGAAUGCUGAGAAGCUGAAAAAAUAGCUCGAAGUUUAGUAUCUUACUACUUCACAAUCUAAUAUAAUCUUAUACCUCUCCCUUUUGUUUUAAUUUUUUCUCAUUCUUCCCACUCUUUCUCCUCACUUUGUACCACCCCUGUAUGCCGUACUUAUUUUGGCAACAUGUUGCCUCUUCAAUUAAUUGAGUAGGUGGGGAUCCCCCAGAGUUAUUCGAAAAAAAUAUGUAGAGCAAAAAAUGCUAGGAUUGAAAAAGGCAAUUCUCGAGAGAGAGCAACCGGGGAUACACAGAACGCGGAUCAGAAAAUACCCGGAGCCAAAAGCUAGGAGCAAAACAACAUGGGGGAGGGGGGUGUGUGGAAUGUGGGGAAUAUAAAAUCAGAAUGCACCAAUGUAUCGAUAAUCUCUGAUUCUGAACCUGCGCUUCCGCUCCACUAAAUCCUAGAUUAUGGAUGCGAAAUAGAAAACCAUGGGUGGGGUGAGCAACUAAUGUGCACAAAAAAUUACUCGAAAAGAAAGAGGAAAACAGGGGGGGGGGGGGCGGGGGAGCGAAGGGGCAACUAACAACAACUAAUCUCGCGCAGCACAAUCUCCAAAUAUGUGCUUCCAGCCCACAUCACCCACCACGAAUAACCCCCCUCGUUUGAAUCCAAAUACACAUCGCAGAUGAGGGACACUAGAAAACAAUCCACGGAACGCAGAAAAUCAGAUGAGAACGCGAAGGUGCAUGAACUCACCUGGUCUGAUUGCAGCUUCCAGUCCCCCUCCUCAUAACCUGCGGAUGCCUCGCCGCAUUCCAGAAGCGCACGCCGAUAACCUCCACCAAAAAACAAAAUAAAAAAUGAUGAAAACUAGGCGCGACGCAAGCAGGGGACCCCUCACCUGGUGUGUGAUUUACGUUUCCAAUCGCUCCCUCGGAUCUUCCUCCGCCGCAUCCAAAAAAUAAUGAAGAGAAAUUAUCUCAAAACCGUAUAGUAGCUUACAUCUAUUAUUCUAUUAUAUUAAUAAGCGAGGUUUAAAAGAAGCCACCAUAUUUGCCGAGAGGAUCUAGAAAUUUCCAAGUUAAUCUAAAAAAGAGAAGGAUUUGCACUAUCAGAUUUUAACGGUCUAAAAUAACUUAAGAGCCCAUAUCAAAUAUGAUUAAUAAAUAGCUAAUUUCGGAAUUAAAAUACUGAGAAAAAUUAGGAACGAAAGAGUUCAUGCCGAAUACGAUUAGUAAAUAUCUAAAUUUAAAAUUAGAAAAUAAGGAAAUUAGCAGUUGACCAAAGAAUUUAUGGGGAAUACGAUUAAUAAAUAGGUAAAAUUUCAGAAUUAUCAUGAAAGAUACAUGUGUUAUUCAAGUUGGCAUCUUCACCCGUCUGCCCUCCUGCUGCUUGGCCAUCCACCAGCAGACUGUUCAUGUCGCCUUGAUUGCCUUUCCAGAGUUCACGCAUCCAUAUAUACCUAUGGUUUGUGCUGCGCUUGCCUUGCACCAUGGCAAACAGGUUCCCUCCCGUGAGAGUGUUCGCUGGGGCAAGGAGGGAGCUCCGGCACACUUCACUUCAUGGGCUCCCGUACUUGCUCGAUUGAGAGUUGCUCGGUUCAAGUUACAGGUGUCAUGGCCUGUUAUAGGAUUCAGGAUCUCGGGCUCUCGGCUGCAAUGAGUGCUAGGUGGCUGGCAGAUUGUUGCUGCUGCUGUUUGCAUUGAUGAUCAUCGGAGUAGAUUGGAAGCAUUAGACAAAGCAAGCAAGGCAGCUUCAUAUCAGUACAACAAAAGGAAAAAGUAACGGCACCCUCCAUGCAAACACAACUUGAUACAAUCAUGUUUGCCUCUCCUGCAAUGCAUGCAACGCUGAACAAGGACAAUAUGUGUUGUUCAACCGAUAAUGUGAGCCUGAUGUGCUCAUAUUGUUGCUAUUAAUCUCGAUUUCAUGUGUAUGUGGGCUCGAGAGACAUUGAUUUCGGUGGUGAUUGAUAAACAGCUCAAUUUCGACCCAAUAACCUAGAUGCUACACUUUGUGGCGAGAGAGAGAUUGAAGAGAAACAUCAUAUAGAGAGAAGGUGGGAGAAUCUUUCUUGCACAAAGGUCAAAAACGCAGUAUGAGGGUGGUAUAUUGGUAGAGUCUAAAAAUUUAGCUAGACAUUUUAAGGAUCGUAUUAGAAUUGGGCUUAUAUUUUAUACAUUUUUGAGCUUAAAAUGAUUAAGAGUUGAAUUCGAUUGUGAUUGGGGUAUUAGGAUCAUGCUCCAUUACCAUGCUAUAUAUGGGGUAGACAAAGAGCCCAUACAAAACACAAUUGAUCCAUUACCACGAACCGACUGGAAAUUAUUGAACCGAGUUAUCGUAUUAUUGAAUCACAUUCAGUAAGACAUUGUCAGUAAUCGUAGCAGUAGUUAUUACUGGAAUUUUUUCCGGAAAUUUUACAUAUAGCUACACCUAAGAUGUAGAGUAACAUAUAUAAGUAUACCUAAGGUGUAGAGUAACAUAUAUAAGUAUAGAUUUAAUUAAAGAGAAACAAUAUAAUGAUAGAAAAAUAUAAUGAUAGAAAAAGACAAAUAAUGAAAUCGGCACCAAGAAUAUAAUAAUAGAGGUACCACAAAUGAUGAAAUUUAACCAGAUAAUAAUAUAGCAUCCUUUGCCCAUUUAAAAUUAUGAUGGGAAAAGAAAAGGAUUCACUCCACCAAAAAACCAAACGGAGUGUGGUAUAUCAUCUCGCCGCCAUGCAUCAUCACAUCUUAUAUAUUUGUUUCCAUACCAUCUCUCACCUCAAGCCACCUCAUACUGAGAUAUCAAAUUUGAGCGGCAUUGCUGUUGGCACCAUCAACACAGAGAAGAGCGCUUCUCUAACCGCCUACAAAGGAGAAUGACUCUAGAGCAGGCAGCCCAAAAAGAAUAAUACUAGAGAUUUAGAAAUUUGCAUGCUAAUUAAUGUGAAAAAGAAAGCUUUUUAUCUUUUUGGUAAAUUAAUUGCAUCAACACUAGAGAGCCCAUAAGUAUAAACAAAAGUUUAGACUAAAAAGAAGUAAAGAAAACCAAUCAAUGUUGUUAUAUUAUAUAGAGUUGUUAGUAGGUUUAACUUAAGUUACUACAAAAGCAACAUCUGGUGUAGGCUUGGAAUGAAAAAAAAUAUAAUAUAGGGGUGUCUGGAUUGGCUAAAAUAGGAGCGCUAAUUUAUCCAUAGGUGCCCUAAUGGGCUAAAUAUGGAGUUUAGCCAUAAUUAGGACUAACCAGGACUAACGGGCUCUAACAACCAACUAAACAUUAUUGUGCAAUUAGAUUACCAAUUAGCCCAUAUUUGGCCCUCUUAUUUGGCAUCCAAAUAACAGAGCUAAAGUUUAACUCUGAAAUCCAAACACCCCCUUAAUACUUAAGUGUUAAAUGAAUCCAAUACUUGCUUAUGGGUUUAUAAAUUACCACAAUAAUAGGUCAAAAACUAUAAAUAUCUCAACCAUUUAUCUUAGUGGAUUCAUGUCAUAGCGGAUCUAUUUUCCAUGAUAAAGGGUAAACUAAAAGCAUCUCAGGAUGACACACCUAUAACUAUUACUUUAAAGGCAUAGUAUAUAAGUGCCACGGUGAAUUAGUGUUUGUAGAAUCAUCAAGGUGCAAUGAGGGGAGUCGAGGAGAUCCGCUGUCCUAAAUUUCUAGCACCAGUCUAGAGAAAGAUCAGUGGAGCAAAUGUGACAAACGGAAUACAAUAGAUGAAUCAGCUAGCAGGAGGUAGAGAGGCUUCCUAGCUACAUGAGGACGCACGAGGCAUUGGUACACAUUAGUGAAAUAAUUUUAGAAGUAAAGGCUUUUCGUGAAACCAUAGAAACAGUAAGUGAAAUAGAAAACUAUGAAACAAUUAAAAACUAAAGAUAUAGUGAGUCCAAGAAGACAAUAGAAUUUAGUGAAAUUAGCAUCCUGAUUUUCAUACAAGUUUAUAAUUAAAAUAAUCAAGAGUGUAUGUCAAAUACAUAAAAAUAACUCCCAGAGUUUAUAAACAAGUUAAGAAAAUCUAUAUAUUUUCAUACAUAUUUUUUAUGAGACUAUUUUCAUAGAUUUCGGGAAGAAAAAGACGUAAACAAAUGACUUCUGUAAAAUCUAAUUCAUAAUAACUAAAUGUUUAGACAAAAAAUGGAAUAAAGAAUCAAAUACAAUAUUAGGAAAAGGGACACUAGCGAGCAAAGGAGGAUUGAAGGAAUUAUAACAUAAUCCCUACUCUCAGUUUUUUGCUCUUAAUUUCAUAAUUUAUCCAAUAAGGAUUGAUCAGCCAAGAGUAUGUAGAAGCACCAUCAAAAUAAUGCAUAUGCAUUUAAACAAUAUCUAUACAUAGAUAUUCCCUUUUAUCAUGUAUAUGUUUUGCACAAUGAAAUAAGAUGAUAAAAAAAUGUGAUAUCUUAAACUAGGUUAUUUGGACAGAAUAAUGACAAUGAAACAGCAAAACAAAAUCACUUGAAUACAUUUAAUUUUAAGUUAAAAGGAUCCCAAAUAUUAUCUUAAAAAAAGCUAGCUAACCGCGCUAGUUUGCACGGACCACCUUGCUAGUUUGUUAAACAAUGGGUACGGAUAGUUAAAGCUUAAACCAUACUUAUCAUUUUAAAUUAGACAAAAGUAUACUAUUUGUGCUUCCUCUGUCCGUAAAGGCGAGAUGCGUAGAUACAUCUCGUCACAAAAGUUGAGAUGCAAAACUUGUCUUUUCUUUCUAAAAUGUUAUUUUAUAUUUUUUUCGAGAACGUGCAGAAGAUUUAUAUUUUUAUGGCACAUGCACCUAAAAUUGAGUUUGCAUUCCAGUUUGUCAUCUUUGCAUCACCAUUUGUCAAAAGUACUCGCGUCCUACCUACCCAAACGACCAAGGCGCAGAAUGACACCAGAGGCUUGCCGUUGCCUUGCCUUAUCACUAGCACUCGAGGUAGUGGCACAGAGCAGGUCCCCAAUCCGGCAAUCCCCAUAACCAUUGGAGUCUGCAUCAUCAUGUGAACUCUGGCAUGAAAGCAGGCGUAGUAGAUGGUGAAAAAGCAGGCUUGGUUUCGGGGCGGUGGUCGAUAUUGGCAAUCAGCUGAUCCUGGGUCUCGCUACGAUGUGAGAGCAAACAGAUGUGAGAUCAGCAAAUUUGAAGAUGUGAGAUCAGACAUCUUCAAAUUUGCUGGACUUCGAGCGCCGUUCGUUCACGCGUCGGCUCCAGGGCUCCAGGCGCCCUCGGCUACACACUCGGCCCUCAGCGCGCGUUCGUAUCCCGCAACACAUGCGUGUUCUCGCGUGCUGCGCGCUCGACAUGGCUCUCCCGUCACGCGGCCCCAGCGUGCUCCUGCAGCUCCUCCUCGCCGGCCUCGCGCUCGCGGCGGCCUUCAGCUGCGCGGACACGGCCCGAGCCCCCGCGGCCCAUGAGGAAGGCAAAGCCACGGCCCCUGAGGUCAGCGACGCCCUGCCGGUCGAGCUCCCGCACGUCGACGUCAUCGACAAAUUCGGCGGAGGCCAUGGUGGUGGCGGGGGCGGCGGCGGUCACGCCGGCGGAGGAGGCGGUGGUCACGCUAGCGGAGAAGGCGGCCGCGCUCACUCUAGCGGAGCGGGAAGAGGCGGCGCCGGCCCCGGUGCCGGCGCGAGGGCCGCCGCCGCGGGAGCAGCGACAGGCAACCGGCGUCGCAGCGCCGCGGCCGGCGCGAGCGAGCGUGGCGCGUGGAAGGCUGCCGGCGCCGGCGCCGCCCUCGCCGCCGCGCUCAUCGCCGUCUGCAGGUGAAGAACCGCAGCUGCUGAUCGCGCGCCGCGCUCGUCGUAGUAUAUAGCUUGGUACGGUGCCAUGGUUUGGCAGAAGUACUAUAGCAGAUCCUGGUGGAGUAGUUGUGAUCGCGUAUCGUGUAUAUAUGAGUAUAUAUAUCGAGUCCCUGUCAUCACGUACUACCAAGAAACUAGCAGAACUCAUCAGCAAGGCUCUACAUUGCCUGGGCUGCUGCGUUUGGGGUUGUUAACUUGUCAGUUGUACCACGAUAUAUCAUAGAUGCCACCGUCGUCGCUCAUGAUGUGCGACCUUUUCCUUUCACUAGCCAGCCGUGGUCUUGCUUGGGAGAAGCAGCUCGAGCUCACGGGUGACGGGGCACUAGGCGCUCAUCAGUUUG
RNAcentral lists this long non-coding RNA (46883 nucleotides) under Panicum hallii. Its description in RNAcentral is "long non-coding RNA (PHAL_LNC000281)". Lineage: Eukaryota; Viridiplantae; Streptophyta; Magnoliopsida; Poales; Poaceae. The record is from RNAcentral.